This 53889-nucleotide long non-coding RNA is filed under the name Capsella rubella. RNAcentral's name for it is "long non-coding RNA (CRUB_LNC001927)". Lineage: Eukaryota; Viridiplantae; Streptophyta; Magnoliopsida; Brassicales; Brassicaceae. The record is from RNAcentral.
CUGCCACCGGUUGAGCCAAGAAAUACCGUUGGUCACGGUUACUUACGUACGGAGAUAUUUGAUUCGAUCCGACAGAUUCCAUUGAUUUUUUAAGAAUUCCGUUACAACAGUUGGGAGAUUAUGCGAUUACAUAUUUAUGUUGUGGAGAUAGGUACAGUUACAAUCAUACACGUCAUGUAUUUUUGUGAAGAUUCUUGGUAUGGAACGAUGGCACACGUGUGGAAUAACGGCGACGUGUAGGCGAUCACAAAAUACGGCGUUACACGGAAUGCAAAAACCUCAUAUAUUUUAUUUUUUUUAACUCUUGAUUUAUUAUUUAUGGCAAAUUAUGAGAAUUGUUACAACGACGAUACUACUACCGACAAUUCUAUCCGACCUUUUUAGAUUCACCACAGAUUACAACCCUUUCCUGACGACACUUUCUUCUUCAUGCGUAGAAUCACGGCGAACGGCUCUAAUUGUGCAUUGUUAUAGAUCUCUUGUAAGCUUAACUCCUUAAUCUGCAAAUUAAAUAAAUCGCAUUACCCGGGCGUCGAACCCAGGACCUCUUGGUGUAGAAGCUUUAAAAACCUCAUAUAUUCGCGAUCCAAUUUAAUUAAUCUAAAAUUCAGACGUCGUGUGGUUUUCCGGAAGUACAGUGGCACAGCAUGCCAUUUAUUUUUCAUUAAUUUUUGUUUGAGAAACGUUGUCGUUUUGGGUUAAACCUUGUAAAAACUCAAUCCUCUAUCUUGCUCGCAGUAUAACCUAAAAUCAAAAUCACAGUCGCAUUCGUUUUGUCCGGCAAAAAUGGCUUCUAGAUGUCGAUCUUUGUCUAAACCAGCGUUUACUAUGUUUAGAUCUGCAAUGAACAAGCCCUCUCUUCGACCCAAAUCGGCUUCAUCGUUUCUGGGCGUCCCUCCUUCGCCUGGACUUUCGAGGUAACUCAACUGAUUGAUUGAUUGAUUUUUUUUUUCCUUCCCGACAUUUGAGUAGUGGAUUUGUAUUGGUGAGCUCCCGAUUCAUGUAUUUUGUUAAAGGGUUUGUUUGAAUAUUGAUAGGCCGAUUGCUCAGCUGGGAUCACUUCAAUCGUUGCUUCCAUUGUAUAGUGCGGUGGCUUCUGCUAGAUUGACUUCGUGCCUCGGUAUCGAUUCACAGAAUUCUAGGUCAUUAGCUCAGGGUAUGCUCUGCAGUGCGAAUCCAGGAGUUUGAUAUUCCAAAUCCAAAUGUUUUGUGUUUAGUAUAUCUGUAAGCAACCUUUUUUUUAACUCUUUGAUCUUUGCGUAGCUUCGAAUUGACAUGUUAUUUAAUCUUGGUUUCAAAUUAGAGAUUGGAUUUUCGUAAUUAAGAUUCGCUAGCAGUUUAUAUAUAGCCUAAGUAGAUAUUGCUUUUAGUUGGAUAGCUCUGUGUAACUUUGAUCCUCAUCUUUGCAGAACUGACUAUUGACAUUCAAGAAAUUCAUAGAAUUAUCACAGAUCUCGAACUUUUCUCUGUUUCAAACUUGCCCCUUCCCCAUAUUGGUUUGAUCUUUGCUUUGCUUUUCCUUCACAUUGUGCAGUUUGAUUAGGACUAUUGUGGUUUUCCGAGUUUCCUUUUAGUGAACUAUUAGUGUUUGCCAGGGCAUAUAUUCAUUGGUCUCUUAAACACAAAUAGGUUCUUGCUUAUCAAAGAAUUGUUUAGGCAUAAGAAUCUUGUAUUGGCUCGAAGAUGAAAGAGAUGCCCUUUUGGUGCUGCUAUUUCUUCAUCUUCUCUUUGAACUUUUUGUAGUAUUAUUGAUUGCAAAAAACAAUUGAAACAAAUAUGUUUUGAUGGCACAUAUACUAAUCUAUGUCUCUCAUGAAUCUUUGCAGAGCUCGGCCUAAGCGUGCCUCGAUAAUGAGACCAGACUCGAAGAAAUUUGGAUUCGUUUUAGAUGAGAUUCUCUGCAUCUUUGCUUUUGCUGGUCUAAUUCAAUCACUCAGAUCAGUUCUCUGUCAUUUGGAUGAUAAAACACUCUCUUCUUUAGUUACAUUCCAAUUAAGCAACACAAUGUCUUUUGGAACUUCUAUGUUCAACACAUCAAGAUUGAACAAUAAUAGCCUCUUGUCUAUGCUAUUGGUUAAGCCAUGAUUUUGCUAUUCAAUUAUUAUUGGCUAGUUUUAGUUUUACUUGUUUGUGUGUAUAUGAGUUGUUAUUCAAAGUUUCAUUUAGGAUGGAUGAUUAAAUCUAGUGAUCGUAUAUAACUAUCAAAAAUGAUAUCUUCAGCAUGAAAGUUAAGCCAUGCCCAUGAGAUACUCGAACCCUUCAGAAACUUUGUAUGUAGUGAUAAUACGACUUGCCGUUUCUUAUAAUGCACAAAAUUGUGUCGUAGAUAAACGCCUUGCCGUUUUCUACAAUGUAAAACGACGUGACGUCUACUGUGUUUUCAAACAAUCCUUGUAGACACUCUCGGCAAAUUUACAGCUCUUCAACACGAAGAGAGCAAAAAAUGGAGAAGAAGCGUGAAGGAGUAAUGGAAGCAAUGAGUCGGAUCGUAUCAGAUCCUUUCUACUUCCUCCAUUUCAUGGCCUUCUUCUCUUACCUUCCGAUUCGUAGCUCCGCCGCACCCUACACUUCUCAUCGACUCUUCGACAGAGAAAUCCAAGCAUUUCUAGCGUUCCUUAUGUUUUCCGCUAUCAAGGUUUGAGCUUACUUCGAAUUUGAUUAAAUCGCUUGAGUUCUUCACUCCCUGAUUUAUUGAUUUGUGCAAAAUCGUAUUGUAGAUGGUGAGGGAGGAAACAUGGGAAGCUUUUGUUGCGGAUGGUUUACUCUACGCUAAGGUUAACACUCUCGCCGGUUUCAGAUUCCGAAUCAAAAUUGAAUUGUUAGUCAACUUUAAGAUUCAUGUGAAAUCUGCUGAUACACAUUUAUUUACUCGCCCCAGAUCUUUCUCAUAGCUGUUUCGUUGAUUAUGGAUUACCGAGUGGCGAUCUGGUUCUCUGUCAUAUUUUCAGGUGAGCUCAAUUCCUAUCUCUUUGAUUAAAUAUGUGAUAUUGUAUAGGAAAUGCAGAUUUCAGUGUUGAUUGAUCUUAAACCAUUGAUUGAGUCUUUCUAUGUUUGAUUUGAAUGUUUCCUUUUGCAGUUAUAUAUCUUUUAGCUCAACAGCCAGCAUUUAGUAAAUUAGGUAUGGGAUGAUUCUUCAAGUUCUUGCUUUUAUGUGGAUUUGCUGAAUCAAAAGUUGUAUUCUUUGUAAAUUGCGUAAACGUUUGCAGGAACUGCGAAGAAGCUAACACCUAUGCAGUUGGAGGAUUUGCUGUCUGAUGGGAGCACAACGAAAUACUGGUUGGUACGUGGGAACUACUGGCUUUAUCUUUUAGAUGAUACAUUUGAAAAAACCAAGGAGAAGACUUUGGGUAAUGAAAUGAUUUAGUUGCAGAGAGCAUAGCUUACACUCGGAACCCAACAAAGCAUGAUGUCUAUGAAGCUAGAUAAUACCUGUAGCCUCCCCUUACUAUUAUGUCAUCAAAGUUUGUCUUUCUUUUGUUUAGCUGUCAAUCAUUUAAGAAACAGAACUGAUAUGCAACAAUUAGUAAAACAAUGUCGGAAAUUGAACUUUCAUCUGCAAAAGGUUAUUAUUGAAGGCUUGUAGCUACUUUUAUGAUGAUGUGCCUUUCUUAUCUUUUGCAGAUAGAAUUCUUUGCAUGUAGUUCUUCUAAGUGUGUUCGUUCAAGCCGAUGCUUUCCCGAACUCUCUAUCACGUAAGCUUUGUGUAUGAAUUAAGAAAGACCCCAAUUUCACUGUUAGUCUUAAGACACACUCACUCACUCUUCUUCCAUUUCUUCAGGUACUCGAAUAAUCUUUUGUCUUUCGGAACUGUUGAUUUUGGACUUUUCCCUAAUACUGCUGCUAAGUUCGGAAUAUCUCUUGCCGGUAAUAAUUCUUCACUAACUCAUUAAUUUGUCCAAUCUCAAAAACACAUCGAGUCUCUGUUGUGGAAGCAACUGAUCAUAUUGUGUAUCAUAUAUAGGUGGAAUGUCUCAGCUUCCAACAUAUAUAUUGUUCGAAAAGGGUGUUGAAGUUUCUCGGUUCCCAGACUUUUAUGUCGAUGCUGCACCUUCUUUACCCAUAACCAAGGUUUACAUGCUUUGACAAAAUUGGCAAGAAAUCAGUUUUUUAAUGGCUGCAUUAAUUCUCUUAAGGCUAUACGGCUGUAAAUGGAAUUUAUAAAAGUUGUGUUUAUGUGUGGAGGUGGACUGAUUGGACCAAUAUAUUUCUAUAUUUUAUUUGUGGCGGAGAAAACGAAUAACGGAUAUACAACUUUCUGGCCUUCGCUUGCAAGAGCAGUAUGAAGAAAUCAACACAACCAUCAAGUUUAUGGAUUCGUUUGUUUGUUCUUCUAUAAUGGGCAUUUUUAGUGAGGCUCUUCAGAGAAAACGACAGUAUUAUAUUCUAGUGCUAUAGAGAGAUAGAAAGAUUCUGUUGAAAUCUUACGGGGUUUGAACUUCAGCGAAGAAUUCUUGAAUACCUUGGUAAUGGAAAUAUCACUUUCUGACUUCUCUUUAGUUCCAUUCGUUGUCAUGAAUUUUGAGGCUCAUUUGCACUCGUACGUCUCUUAUUGUGUUGUUUUCAUGUGGUAUAUACCACAACCCAUUUAUAAUCCUUUGUCCUAUGUGUGGACUAGAAAAUUACCAGUAAAUAAGUUGGAUCGUGCGUGCGGGCGGCUACUAUUCCAAGUAUCAUAUCUUUACCCUGCCAAUUAUAUUUUUGCAAACAUUCCAAAACUAAUAUGUAGUGAAAGCAACAAGUAAUAAAGUAUGGGGAGCCCAAUAAGUAAGUAUGUUGAUAUACAAAAGAAAGCAUCGUUAUCUUUAAAAGACGUGUGAUUACGAUUUAAGAGUUGAAUGAACAAGAAACUGAAUGGUAAAGAUGAUGCCUAGUGGCAACGUCUGCUCGUCAUGUUCCAGAAUCCUAAUUUAGCCAUUAAAUAAUUUGAUUUGAUCUCUUGACUCGGCUUUUGCAUCUCACUUUCUCGUGUCUAUCGUUGUGUUUACAUCAUAAAUCAUACUGUACUUUAAUCUAACUAAUAACUAUAAUAUAUAUAAAUCCAACUAAUAUCAGGAAUACUAUUCAAUGUAUAAGGAAAUAAAAAUGUACCAAAAUAAAUAAUAAUAAUAAUCAGUUUCUCAAAACGCGGUCAAUAAAUUAAAAUCAUUUAAUAUCGUAUAACUCGUAACGGACCAUUUAUAUCAUUCUAUCUAACUCAUCAACGGUUCUUGACCGAACACUCCCGGAAACUCCGUAUCUGCACCGUCCAAAUCUCUGACUUGGGACCGCUCAACAACACUCCUACAUAAUCUCGUUAGUUUGACAACCAAUGAGGUAUAUCCACGUAGCCAGUCUCACCAUGCUCCGCCACUACAUAAGAUUAAAGUAAUCACCUCUUAUAAAUUGAGUCCCACCAUUUGCCCCAAAAUUUCCUGACAUUUUCUCUGUUACACGCUUUCCUUCUUUCUCCAUUUUUUUUAAUUUUCUUACGAUUUGUGAAUCUCUUUUACAUAUUUUCCGGCGAUGGCGUCAACGUCGGGAGAAAUGGAGCAAUUGACAUCAGGAGCGAGCAAUCGGAUCAUUUUUAUUUCGAGAACGCUUAGGAAAUGUCUCGUCUUCGUCUUCUCUCUCGUACUUUCUCUUCUCCUCGUUCUCCGUCUCCGUCCUCGUCGCCGUGUCUCGCCUCUUUCAUCGCCGGAGGAGGGGGAGGAGGCUGUUCCUGCUCCUUCUAGGCGAUGGAGGCGGAAGAUGGCAUGGAAGCUGGAGGAGGAAGACACGGCUAGACGUCGUUCCUUGGCUGAAGGCGUUGAGAUGGCCGGAAAUGAAGAGAUCCCUUGUCGUUGGAGCAGUUCUUUGUUUUACGGCCGUCGUGGUAACGCUUUGUUCUCUCGGUCGUGGUUGCCUCUCUCCGGCGAACUCAGGUAAUUAGCCUCUCGAUUUUUGCAUGCACAAAAUUAGAAUCCUCCGGUUAAGUUCUUAAUCAGAAGUUUUAUCUAACCUUGGUUUCGAUUUUGACUUUGAAUUUUUGAAUUUUAUUAAUCUCUUCAGGGGGAUUUUGAUUAUUAUUCAUGGACUCAAUGAACACAGGUGAAAAAUCAACACUUUUUUAUUUUUAUUUUCAAAUUUAAUUCGUCUUACUAAAUUCUCUAUUAUUCGAUCAAUCUCUCAAUCUGUGAAUUUCUUAAUGUCCAGUGGAAGAUAUUCUCAAUUCGCUAAGCAGCUAAACUCGAGUCAUUUAGGUGUAUACGCUAUGGACUGGAUUGGUAUGAACACGAGCUUGUUCUGUUUCUUCUUCAUUUUCAUAUUUGUUCUGAAACUGUGGGUCUGAACAGGUCGCCAUAUGUUUGGUUUGGUCCAUAACUGUAUUAGGUCACGGUGGGAGUGAUGGUUUGCAUGGCUAUGUUCCUUCUCUUGAUUAUGUUGUUUCCGACACUGUAAGUUUACCAUCUUACAAACAUUACUUCUUCUUUUUUUUUUUUUGUCUUUUUUGGUGAUGAAACUAGAGAAAUGUUCCAUUUGAAGUUGUUGAUUUAGUGAUUUGGUGUCUUGAUUUGAAUUCUAUAGGAAGCUUUCUUGGAAAAGAUUAGGUAUGAGAACCCGGGGGUCCCCUGUUUUCUCUUUGGUCACUCCACUGGUGGAGCUGUGGUUUUGAAGGUACUUCAUUUCGUACCUUUGAAGCUCUGUUCAAGCUUUUAUUGUUUACAGUGUCCUGACAUAAGGGUCUACUUUGUGUUAAUAUAGGCAGCUUCAUCUCCCUCUAUUGAAAAUAUGUUAGCUGGAAUUGUCCUGACAUCGCCUGCACUUCGUGUCAAACCCGCUCAUCCCAUUGUUGGGGUAAGUCGUCUCCUUUGCAGUAUUCAAGUUAGAUGCUUUGUCAUUCUAGGCCGGAGAACUUUGUGGGUGAUCAUUAGGUCAUAUGUUUCUUUGUAGGCAAUAGCUCCACUCUUUUCAUUGGUCGCCCCAAGGUUCCAAUUCAAAGGAGCAAACAAGAGAGGCAUUCCGGUCUCAAGAGACCCUGAAGCUCUCUUAGCCAAGUACUCUGAUCCAUUAGUCUACACUGGUCCAAUAAGAGUCCGAACAGGCCAUGAGAUACUUCGCAUAACAGCUUACUUGACCAGGAACUUCAAAUCUGUUACAGUGCCUUUCUUUGUUCUCCAUGGUACAGCGGACAAAGUCACUGAUCCACUAGCUUCACAAGAUUUGUAUAAUCAGGCACCAUCAGUUUUUAAAGACAUCAAACUCUAUGAUGGUUUCUUACACGACCUUCUCUUUGAACCUGAGCGUGAAGAAGUCGGUCGUGAUAUCAUAGAUUGGAUGAUGAAGCGGCUUGACGAUGUUAACGGAUCAGCCGUUGGCCUCUGGUAAAAUAUCAAAUGGCGAAAUAUCAGAGGUCUUCCUCUUCUCUAGGUAGUUGUAAUACAAAUGGCGUGUUUGUAAAAUCAGAAGCCGAAUGUAGGAAAUACAAAUAUGUAUAAUGGGUUUAAUCUUUGAAUUGUUUGAUUAUUGAAAUUUUCCUUACAAUGGAUGAAGAUAGAUAUGCAUGUGAAUGCAUACUUCAUAAGUAUAUAUUAUCAUUGAUUUUGUUUUCCUUGCUCAUUUUGUUUCCUAACAAUGGAUGAAGAUAGAUAUGGCUUCCUUACAAUGGAUGAAGAUGGAUAUGGUUUCUUAGUAUAAAGAGAGCAUGUUAGUGAUUUCUCAGCUGUUUGACAUGGCUAGUAUGUAAAUUAUAAUAUGUGUUGGUGGUAAAAAUUAACAGAUGUAGCUAGAGACAUGAUAUAUAGUGUAUUAGUGUGGAGACUCAGAGAAAAAGGUCGUCGUUUAGUAUAUCUAUAUAGAAAGGAUAACCAGAGAAAGUCAUGGAGUAAAAUCUUCUUAAUCCACACGUAAGAAUUGAUUUUUCUCUGCUAAUGGUACUAUGCCACUAUUCUUCUUAAAUGGAAUGAUAUUUUUGGUUAUUUGCUCUAGUUCCCAUAGUCCAAGUUACGUUUUAAUUACCUUAUAAUGUCCUUUUUAACUAGAGGUUUCUUGGUUCCUCAAAUUUGUGUUCUUUAAUUACAGUUUAUAUGUAUGUAUGUAUGUAUGUAUGUUCAAUGUUUCUUGUAGUUUAAUCUAUCUGUCAUAGAAUGCAUGAUAACAAUAUGCAAAUCUCUAUUCAUUCGCUGAAAAGAGACAUCUACUGGAGGAUUAUCAGUAGAGAAUGUGUUGUCCAAAAGUUUUGAAAUGGCUGAGAGGUCAAGAUUUAUGGACCAAUAUUCUCUAAUUUUAGGCAAAAUUAAAGAAGUUUUGACAUGAUCAUUUAUUUUUGCAGACAAUACCAUGUAUACAUUAUUUUACAUGUGAGUGAAGUUGGUGGAAAAUCAUUAAUCAUCAAGCAAUUUACAGUAGUCCGGUAAACAAAUGAUCGUAUAUAGCAUUUUCUUGCAUUAUAUAUAUUCUUACAUAAAAAAUAUAAUUUUGUCAAAUGUCUUCAGUAGCUGAAGUUUAUUUUUUUCAAGAUGUGAAUGGUUGCACUAUUUAGAUUGUCUACCAAUAUUGUGUAAGACAUAUAUUAAUUGUUUGUUUGAUGUUAACGUAUUUAUCAUUUGAAUAGUAUAAUUUUGUAUGGUCCUAUUAUUUCAAAGUUGUAGUUUUAUUAAAGAAUUUAUAUCCUCAUCAGUUUUCGUUUCUCAUUGAAUUCAGUACCACUUGAUAUGUAGCUUUUUGUUUUUUUUGGGGUAUAUAUGUUAAGAUUCUACAAACUUUUAAAAGAGGGAUACAACCUAUUCCACCCAACAACAGAGACAUAUAUAGGGAAAACCCCAAAAGAAAAAGAAACUCAAAAGAAAGAAACCAAAAAUGGAAACUUAAGUUGGAGCAUGCAUGUGAGAUUUCAAGAUUUCGUAAUUAUAUAAAUAUACAAAAACAUUGUAAACUAAAAAAAAACCUUUCACGAGAAUAUAUAGGUUAAUAAUAGAAUUCUUGUAACGUCGAAAAUUAUACAGAAGAAUAAUUUUCUAGUUCUGAUUAAGGAAACCUGUCAUAACUACCGUGGGACACACACUCCAUUAACAAGUGAACAAAGCCAAUCUGACGGUGUAGAAGAUAACACGUGUCUUGACUUAACGACAAACAUAGAUUCUCCUAACCACCCUUAUUAAUGUUUGAAUCGGGGUAUUCAUUCGCUUUGAAAAUAAACCGGUUUAAUAACCGGAAAAUAAAAACAUGUAAACCGAUCUAAUUUAUGUACCCAGUGUAAAUUUGGUGCUAGAAGCGAACUCGUAUUCACUUUUUUUUUAUUUUUUUUUUCUUUUUUUUUUUUUUUUUAAAGUUGACAAUAGUAAACACCAUAGUCAAAUUACAAAAACAUAUUAAAACUAUACUAGCAAACAAACGAAACUUUCAAAGGUAAUUUUUUCAAUUAGCUAUAUAUUUUAACAUCAAUAAGAUAGCAAACUAAAUGACUCAAAUUGUAUUCUUAUAAUCAAGUUAUAACAUGCUUAAACAAAGAUAAGUGUUCUACUAAAAACCAUUAACACAUAUUGUUAAAAAUGUCAAUUUAAAAAAAAAAACUUAAAUCAAAUUGAUUAAAAAUCAACCGUCCAUCAAUACAAGAACUAAAAAAAGUAGGAAAAGUUAAUCUGGAUACUUAUAUUGGACCUUACCGUAAAAAACUAAAGUUAGUGAAGUGUUUGUUGAACAAAUCUAUUAUUAAAAAUAGUGCGUUGAUGAUAUUUCUCCAAAACAUGAUGUAUCAUGUAUGUACGAGCUGGAGUUUAAUUUUUAAAGCAUGAGGCAAGGCCCUUGCUACUAAAAAUAUACUAAUCAAGAGUCAAGACCGUACAGAAAUAUGUAGAUACAUUUUAAAAAUUUAAAUUCUUAAAUAUAUAUAUAUAUAAAUUGGAAUCCUAUUGAAAUUGAGCCUUCGCCAUUUACAUGAACGCAACAGAUAAACCAAGAUCUAAUCUAUUUCGAGAUAUAAUAUUGAAUCAUAUAAAUAAUUACAAAAAAUGACAAUAUUCAGUAAGUUGGAGGGUAGUGUUAUUUUCACUAUAUAACUCGUGUUAUUUUAGUUGCUUGCUUUCUAAAAUCUUGAUCUUUUUUAAAAAAAAACAUUUUCUAUAAUGCAAGGUUUAACAAUCAAGGAGAAUUAAAGUAGAUUAUUUUAUUGUCAGGAAAAACACUAUUAGUUCAAAAAAAAAAUUAUUGUCAGGAAAAACAUUUAUAUUAUAUUGUCUCUACAAAAGCAAAACCUAGGCAGGCCACUCACUCAUUUGCCCUAAAAGGACUGUGACCCUUAAUUUCACGUAGAUAAUUUUACGUUCCAAACUGGGAAAUAUAGAGUUAGUGAUUUUUAUGCUAUCUUCGAAACUGUGAUACCUACCGGAAAGGAAAAAACUGUGUUAGCAAUUGAAUCCGUGUUACGUUGCUCGUUACUCAUCGAACAAGAACAGAACCUUGCCUCCACAACACCAUUUCUCCAUUGCUUUUUUUCCCCAGAAGAUCUCCUUUUCUCCAUGGACGCACCUGAAGCCCGCCUCCUCGGAGGGUACGUACGGUUUGUGAAGUUUUCCUUCUUCUCUUCUUCGACUUGCGGUUCUCAAUCUUUUUUCAGCCUCACACUUCUCUUUGUGCAGGCUCUUCUUCUGUUGGCUUGAGCUUGUACAGGCUCCAAGAACCAUGUUGAGAGGUUUUUGGGUGGUUUUCCUUCUGUCAUGCAUCGCUUUGCCCGGCGUUUUACCGGAUCAGGUAUUAGAAACAUUUCUUUGAAAUUUUUCUGAUUCGUCUGAAUUUUUUUUCUUAGUUGAUUGUUGUAUUAUAUUACGUAUUAACGUUUUAUUAGUUGAUUCUCGUAUUAUUUGCUGAAAUUUUUCUUCUGAUUAUCUUUUAGUUGAAUAUUGUAUUAUUUUACUAAUAUGUCUGAAUUUUUUUUAGCAGAUAACUUCAGAUGGUGAUAUAGUGGAAUGCGUAGACAAAUUCAGACAACCAGCAUUCGAGAAUCCACUUCUAAAAUAUCACAAAUUACAAGUAAUUUAUUCAAUUUUUUUUAGUUUAAAAAAAAACUUUUAUUUAUGUAAUUUAUGAUUUAUAUCAAUAUUAACCAAUUUUUUGUUUUGUUUUAAUAAAAAUAAUACAGGAUGUACCGUCUGAAAUACCCAAGAUGAUCGGAACUCAAAAGGGGAAAAGACAAACACAAGAAGCUUAUGUCAGUACUACGAAAUGCCCAGACGGAGCUAUCCCGAUCCUAUUGUCCGGUCAUGCCAAAAAUCGGACACAACCUGAGACCAAAGAUUACCACUCCGGACAUGAGGUAAUAAAUUCUACCAUAUAAAACAUUCAAACAACUAAAAAAAAAAAAAGUAAUAGUAAUAAUCAAAGACUCGAUUGGUAUGGUUCAAAAGAACAGUCCUAAUUCUGCACAUAUAAGAAUAAGUAGCAAACAUGAAUUAUAAUCAAGUUACUUUAAUAAUCAUGUUUAAUCUUUGACUAUAUGUAAAUUUGAUAAAUAAUUUGAAACAUGCAAUAAUUUCUUACACCCAUAAUCUGUUCUAUUUCUAUCAAACAUCUAUUUGGUUUAGUAGCCAAUAAUCAUUACAAGAACAUUUCCCAUCUUUAAAAUGAUGAAAAACGAUUCAAUUUCCCUCAACAUAAUCUCUCUACCAUAAACCAGAAACCAUCAAUACACAGUACAGCUAUCUCUUUAGUUAUUGAACCCAAACCGGUUUAGGUUUCACCGUGCCUAUAAGCCCAAAUGCCACGUUCUCUGACUCGUUCCUUUAGAAAGGAGAAGAGUUUUUCUAAAACACAAUUACAAGAAAACAAAUGUGGGUAAUAAGAGCCCAUUUAAAUAUUCAUAAAGGCCCAAUUUAAGAAACAUACCCAACACAUUUCACAGAAGAGAUUUAAUAGCCUCUGUACCGAGAUUACAGUUUUGCAUAUGUGAUGACAUAAGACUAUGAUCCUGCAUCCUAUCAGAUACCUUUCUGCAAUCAUCUACCUCAACCCAUCCAGAAAGCGAUCCGCAUACACAUAAGCAACUAAACUACACUCUAACAUCAUCCCCAGUCUUGAUCUAGUGGCCCAAGAAUGCCAAUUGCUUCUUCCCAGAAACAAGUUAUCCGACAAAGAGAUUAUAUAGUGUGAACUUUUGUUUUUUUUUUUUUUUUGUGUGCACAAUAUAGUGUGAACUUAUCUGAUUGAAAUCCACCAAAAAAACCAUGUCCAAUAAAAAUCUUGUUGCUUCUUUAGGAUAACCCCAUUUGCAUACACAUACACCGAGUUAUCAUCAACGUCCAAGUGACAACAUUUAGUUAGUGAACCAACCGAGUAAAUUGAAAACCCCAUUUGCAUACACAUACACUGAAUAAAAUUGAACUGAAAUCUACGAUCUAAGAUAGAAUCUCUAACUAGUUACAACGACAUAAAGCUUCUGAUGCGGAACCACUUUGAGAAGAUGAGUAAUAUAAUGCUGUUGUUACUGAAACCGGACAUUAACCAUCAAUAACCGAAACAACCCAAUCUCCCAAUAGAGCGUGACUGAGUUUUCCCCAGUGGUAAAUCGCCUUGUGUGAUAAAAGACUUUCCGCUUCUUUUAAAAAUAAUUGGGUAGGACUUUUACAUGAUGAAAACUUUGAGAUUUUGAGAUAAAUUUAGGGGCCAUUUUGCAAAAAUUUAGAAUUCGAUUGUAUGUUCAUCAUUUUUAAUAACAAACAAAAAAUACACCUAAUUCAACUUUGUGUUUCUAUAAUUUAUUUAAAUUAAUCAUUUAAAAAUUACUAACUUGACGAAAGCCCUUCUAACAAAAAAAGAAAAGAGAAUGCCAUACUUUGCAAAAGUUAAAUAUAACAGUACAAAUGCCUAAGUAUAUAUUCUUAUUAAUAAUUAAUUACUGGUUGAAUACAUGCAGUAUGCGAUCGUAUCCUAUGAGGAUAACACGAAGUUGUACGGAACAAAAGCCGUACUCAACGUUUGGGAUCCAGCCAUAGAAGAAGGAGCAGCAGAGAUGUCUCUAGCGCAAAUUUGGAUUGCAUCAGGCGAUUAUGAGACCGCUGAUCUUAACACCAUUGAAGUGGGCUGGCAGGUACGCUUACUUUCAUUUUUAACAUCUUAAUUUUGUUUGUUAUUAACAUACUUAGUUUUAAUUAUAUAUGUAAAACAAACGACUAAAACAGUAAUUUGUUUUCGUUAUUCAAAUAUGCAGGUUCUGCCUCAGAUGUAUAACGACAUCAGGCCUAGGUUAUUCCUCUUUUGGACGGUACGUUUCAUUCUUUAUCACUAUUACUUCAUACUAUAUUCUACUUCUUUUUUUUUUUCCGUUUGAUAACGUUCCAGCACAUAAAUUAUAAUUACAUUUAUUGUUUGCAAUAUGGAUUUCAUAUUUAAUUACUUCAGAGCUAGUAGUAAUACUGUUACAACUUUAAAUAGAUAAAAGAUUAAACGGACCACUACUACUAUAAUUAAGUCUAUAACUGAAUCAUCGAGAACUCUUUAUAGAUCCACUCAGCCUUCCUUUUUUAUCAUCAUUAUAAUUAUAAGAAAAGACAACGGGAUUAAGUAUAUAUUGUUUUUUUUUUGGGCAAAAAGUAUACAUUGUUAAGAAAAUAAUAGUGAACCAAAAAAUGACUGGUUUGUUGAACUGAGUCUUUUAUAGUUUUAUGUGGUUAAGUUGGCAAACUGUUACAAGUUAUAUCUAACUACUAAAUUAAAAUUAAAGAAAAACUUAAAUAACAGUAAAAUAAGUAUUUAAAAUCCACACUUUUUUUGUUGUUGUUUCACACACUUGUAUUCAAAAUAUAAUAUCAAUAUAAAAAUUGAAAACGAAAUUUAGAAGUAACUUCUAUAACUGAUCUUAUCAGUCAAACUCUUAAAUAAAUUUAUAUCAAAUUUGGUAAAUUUUAAAUGUAGUUGUUCUUUUACUAGGUUUUUUGCUGUUUCCAAAAUACUUAUUAUUGUAAUACACUGGUACUAUAAUAUGAUUUUGAAUUAUUUAUGCUAAUAGCAAUGUUUUUGUUUUACAGGGUAAUACAUACCGAAGUGGGUGCUACAACGUCCGCUGCUCUGGUUUUAUCCAAACCAGUGGCAGUAUCGUCGUUGGAGGCCCAAUUGCCCCGGUUUCUUCUUUAGGAGGUAUCCAGACCGAACUUACAGUUUUCGUGUGGAAGGUUAGUAAUUUUAAGAUUUUAUUUUAAAAAUAUGUUUUUGAUAAAAAUAAAAAUUAAUUAGGAAAAAAUAGUUAACGAAUAUAUUUAAGGUUCAAUAAAAGUUAAAUAAUUAAUGUAUAUAUUAAAGGUUUAAUUAGAAAAUUUGUAAAUCAUUACAUGCACGAAGAUGAUUGAACUCACCAUUCUCUAGUAAGAUUUUAUGUAUAUUUACAUUGAAUUUUUAAAUCGUAUGUGAGAAGCUUAUAAUUUCAACUUUGUUAGUAUAGAUUUUAUGUAUAUUUACAUUUUUCUUAUGAAAAUAUUUUUAGACAUAGAUUGUUAACUAACUAACUAAUCAAAAUACAGGAUCGGAAAUCAGGAAACUGGUGGUUAAGUUUAGGCGUUAGCAUAGUAGGAUAUUGGCCAGCCGAACUGUUUACUACACUUGCUGAUCACGCAGCCUACGUACAAUGGGGCGGUGAGAUCCUGAACAAGCAGCCUUUAGGACGACACACGACGACCCAAAUGGGUUCCGGGCAUUUUCCAGACGAAGGUUUUGGGAGAAGCGGUUACUUCAGAAACUUGGAAUACGUUGAUUACAACAACCGGUUAGAGUCAGUCCCAGUCCAAAAGUUGGGCAUCAUAGUAACUAACCCAGAUUGUUACAAGGUCAAGCAUCUAUUUUCAGAUGAUUGGAAGACCCAGUUCUACUAUGGGGGGCCAGGGUUUACCCAUUCAGGAGCUACAUUGGCACUUGCCUCACGCUCUCUAUUUUUCGUUGUAGUUGUAUUACUAUUUCUUAUCGUUUAGUGUAUUUUUUUUCUUAAUUUAUAACUCUUCUGUAAUAUUUAGAGAGAGGAAAAAAACAAUUUGGACAAUGGAAGGACUGUAUGUGUAUGGGUUGAUAGAGAAAUAUUUAGCUAACCACCACACCAUGUAAAGUGAUCGGUUAAUAAAGUAAGUACACGGUAAUCGGUUUCUAUCUAUUACAGACAAGUAAAGUUAUAAUUUGACACCUUCCGUAACUUCUGUAAUAUUCAAAGGUGACAUAUUUUAAAAACAAAUUUAAUCAAAUGAAAUAUUUUUCUUUUAACAAAAAAGACAAGUACUAAACAGCUAAACAAAAAAAGGCAUAUUUUCAAGUUUUUUUUGGAUGAUACCCAAAAAAGAAUCAACUCAGCAAUUCAUAAUCCUGCCUCUUCUCUCUAUUUCCAUCACCCUUAAGGUAUGGUUCUCGCUCACCACCUUUCCCAACGCCUUAAUUAGUCCGGAGCUAAGUGAGCAAUUUGAGCUCCUCUUUCUCUUAAUUUAUUUUAGGGAUCUCAUAUAUAUAUAUAUAUAUAUAUUAGAUUUUGGGUAGUAUAUAUCCUUUUAUAAUGAGUAUUUUUUUUCAAUUGUUAAAGAAGAAGAAAAAAAUCAAAGUUGGAUUGUUUUGUUUGUUUGGAAAGAUGACUGCUAUUUCACACAUGGGAUACGGAUACCACCAACGUAACUGCUGUCUGGUCUCCACGAAUAACGCAAACGUUUCUCACUACUCACUCAUCAUCUUUCCUAACGCAUUAAUUAGUCCGACGCUAAGUUGAACAUGCAGUUUGUGCCAUUUGGGUUCCUCCUCCCCUUUCUCUUGUAUCGUAUUUUUGAAUAUAGAAUCGACUUUUUUUGGGCUAUUUAUCCUUUUAUGAUGAGGUUUUAAUUCUUUACUAUUUUGUGAUACUCAUUAUAUAUAUCUUUUAGUUGUAUUUUUGUUAAGAAGAAAAUAUGUUCUUUAGCUUUAGUUCUUUAGAAAAAAGUAUUUUAUAUGAUUUGGUGUGUUUUUUAAAAAAAAUCUCAAUUUAAUACCACAAGAUUUUAUUUUGACCAUAAUGAUUCUUCCAGAUUUGCCACCAAUAAAUAUUUUGAUUAUAUAUAAAUCAGCUUCUUUACUAUUUUUGAUACUUUGCAAAAAAAAAAAAAAAAAACUAUAUUUGGAGGUUAAUAUAUUUAGUAGAAAGGAGUGGAUAACUGAAGUGACUGAACAAAUAAUAUAUUCAAGAUCAUUGAGUUAUUAUGUUUUUAAAAGCAAUACCAUAUAGUAAAGUAAGUUUUAUUUCGAUAAAUUUAUUAUCUAUUACAAUUGAAAACCAACAACAUAAAAGUCAAUCAUAACAUAAUUCGUCGCUUAAAUCACCAAUUAUAAGAUUUUUUUUUGAUUUUACGCUCUACUGCAACAACAUUUUCCAGUGCUCUGAUUUGGAACACAAUGUCCGGCACGAUAAUGUUUCAUUGCACAGUCAAUAUGGCAUUCAUAAUCUUCAUAAUAUCCUAUCUCACACUUAGCAAAACAGUUCGGUGGUCCUACACAUACAACCCACAACAAAUUAUAUAUUCUUGAUUUUAUAUUUUAGAAAAGAAAAAUAUUUACUAUUGGUCUUAAACUUCUUAAGCAUAGUUACAUAAUGAUAAUAAGAUAGAAGAGAACUCGUAUGUAAUAAAAAUCAUACCUGCUAAAACAUUGAUGUCGGAUAACGAAAUUGUCAAUAUUAUGACAAGAAAAAACGUGACAGAGAUUUUUGUGAUAUUCAUUAUAUAUCCCUUUAGUUUUAUUUCUGUAAUGAAGAAAAAAUGUUCUAUUGCUUUAUAGUUGUUUAGAAGAAGCUGAAUUUAUAGGAUUUUGUGUUUUUAUAAAGAAAACUCAAUUUAAUACCCCAAGAUUUUAUUUUGACCAAAAUGAUUCUCUUGAAUUUGCUACUAAUAAAUAUUUGGAAAUAUAUAUACAUAUAUAUAAUUGAAUCUCUACUAUUUUUAAUGGCAAGUUCAUGGAAAUAUAUUAUAUACAGUAGAAAAACUAUUAUAGAAAUAUAUUUCUGGUCACAAUAUUUUAUAAUUUGGUAGUCAUUUAAAUUUGAUAAGUAUUUUAUAAAAUCAAACUUGAAUAAUAAUAGAAAAAGUUAUAAUAAAAUCCAGCAAAUUAAUUUAUGUGUUAAUUUAUCAUGAAGGAAAAUCUCAGUGGUUUAAUAUUUUUAACGAAAAAUUCAAGUGACCAGUAAAAAGAUAUAUAAUUCACAAUAAGCAAAUUGAUAUCCAUAUCUGGACUUAACGUAGGACUUUCUUUUCACAUUGAGAGUCUGUUUUUUGUUGUUGUUGUUAAGAUUUCUUCGAGUCUCCAACCAACAGUUUUUAACUGAAUAUUCUUGGAGAUUUAUUCUUAAAGGUUUUUUUCUGCAUGAAGCGUCUCAUGGUAAUACUUGUAAACGCAAAGCAUGUGAUGUGACGAGAAUGUGUGAAAGCGAAAUGUCUCAGAAGAGACAACAAUACAUAUACAUACUGUGCUCAAUUCAAUUGCUCACCACAACAUGAAUGGAGACACAAUUCUGCCUAACAAACACGCAACUAUGAUACCCAAAAAAAGAAUCAAACUCAGCAAUCCAUAACCCUACCUCUUCUUUCUAUUCCCAUCACCCUUCAGGCUUCAGGUACGGUUCCGAGGCUAAGUGAGCAAUUUGAGCUCCUCCCCCUUUCUCUUAUUUUAUCUCUUUUGUAUAUAUACUUGACUUACUUUGGGCUAUAGUAUUUACCCUUUUAUAAUGAGUCUUUUUUUUUUUUCUUCUAUUGUUAAAGAAGACAAAAAAAUCAUAGUUGGAUUUUGUUUUUUUUCUUUGGAAAGAUAACUGCUAUUUCACACAUGGGAUACCAACGUAAUAAUGCAAACGUUUUGGUAUUCUUUUCUAUAAUUAUAUAUUUAUAUUCUUCUACCUUAUUGCAAAAUAGAAAAAAAAAACGAGCAAUGAACCCAAAAUUUUGAGUUAAAUAACAAUCAUAACUAUUUUUAAUGCGAUUUAAAGCCACAUCUAUAUUCUUGAUUGUUAAAUUUCACUUAAAAACUGUAUCUAUAGUUGAAGGAUGUUAAUAUACAUUAGUAGAUUAAACGCGGUAUAAUACAUUUUUAAUGUACAUUUGGACGUUAUUACUUAUUACUAUGGUGGAUUAAACAUUUGGAUAAUUAAAGUGAAGGAACAAAUAAUAUAUAUUUGAUUCUAUUUUGUUGAGUAAUUAUGCUUUAACAAAAGCAAUACCAUAUAGUAAAGUUACUUUUAUUUCGAUGAAUUUAGUACACAUUCUAUUUGAAAAUCAACAACUCAAAAAAAAAAAAAAACAUAAUCCAUCCCUUAAAUCACCAAUUAUAAGAAAAUAAUCAAUUUUUAUUUUGGGAAAAUUGAUUUUAAAGGAUGUUUUUUUUUAAAUUUGUCCAUUUAUGCCUUCUUUUUUAAAGUUUGGUAUAUUAGGUUUUAGAAUAGGAAAAUGCUCAAUUAUAUCCUUACUUAAAUUAUAUGGAAAUAAACAUCAAACUUUUUGAAAAAAAAAACAUCAAAUUAGGAAAUUUUCUGUAAGAAAAAAAGAUAUUCUUAAAUCUAAAAAAAUCAAAAACAUAUAUUAUUUUUCCUUUUAAAAAAAAACUCUUCUCAUUUAAUAUUGUAAAAAGGUAAAAAAAACCAAAGAUAGACUCGACGAUGUCAAAAUUUUCUGAAAAAUAAAAACUUCAUUUGUUCGUGAUUAUCAAACCUAAACUAGGAAGAUUGUUUGAGACUAGCUCUUUGAUAUUGUUAGUUUUUAAUUUUUGGUCAAACUCAAGGACUGUAUAUACACCUAACGUUCACUCAAAAUAAAAAUAUAUGAUUUCUAGAUAUUAGGGAAUACAAAAUAUUUUGUUUCCUUUAAUUUAGGAUUCAAUUUCCUUGUAUAAGAUAGUUCUAAAAAUUCGUAGAAUACAUUUUCUAAAAUAUGAAGAACGAAGAGUAAAGUGUAGAAUUGAUGAUCUAACUUUUGCAGAAUAUAGGGUAAAGUGUAGAAAAUAAAUUCUAAAAUUUGUAGAAUAUAGAGUAACAUGUAGAAUACAUAUUCCAAAUUUUGUANNNNNNNNNNNNNNNNNNNNNNNNNNNNNNNNNNNNNNNNNNNNNNNNNNNNNNNNNNNNNNNNNNNNNNNNNNNNNNNNNNNNNNNNNNNNNNNNNNNNNNNNNNNNNNNNNNNNNNNNNNNNNNNNNNNNNNNNNNNNNNNNNNNNNNNNNNNNGUAUUCUAAAUAUUGCAGAAUGAUUUUUUCAAUAUCAAAAUCAACAUACUUUCAUCCAAAACUCUUUUGUUUAACAUUAAAUCUUAUUAAUCUUUAAUUGUUGAUAUGUUUUAAUUUAAAAAUUAAUUAAAAAUUAAUUUUAUUUAUUUAAAAGGGUAAUUUAGGUAUAACUGACAAUUUACCGCAGAAAGCAUAAAAGGACAAAUUUUUAAAAAAACAUUCUUUAAAAUCAAAACCCCCUUUUAUUUUCUAGUACAACAACAUUUUCCAGAUAUCUGAUUUGGAACACAACCUCCAUAAUCAUAUCCUUUCUGUCUACAAUCAAGGAUGCAUUCAUAAUCUUCAUAGUAUCCUUCAGCACACUUAGCAAAACAGUUCGGUCCUACACAUACAACCCACCAAAAAAUUAGAUAUGUUUAAUAUAUUUUGCAUUUAUACACAAUUUUUUCUAAAUAAAUCUUAAAACAUGUACAAAUGGUACCUUUAAGUAUAUAUAUAUAAUAGCUAUUCUCGAUUAUAUAUUUUGAAAAAGUAAAAUAUUUACCCUUGAUCAUAAAAUUAUCAAAAAUAGUUACAUAAUAAUAUUAAUAUAUGAGAAAAUUCUUCUCAUAAAAACAUUCUUAUAAAAAUAUCAUACCUGAAGCGGCUAAAACAUUGUUGCCAGAUAACGAAAUUGUCAAUAUUAUGACAAGAAAAAAAGUGACAGAGACUUUUGUGAUACUCAUUAUAUAUGAUCUUUUAGUUUUCUUUCUGUUGGGAUGAAAAAUAUGUUCUAUAGCUUUAUAGUUCUUUAGAAUAAGCUAUAUUUAUAUGAUUAUUGUGACUUUAAAAAAUUCUCAAUUUAAUACCCCAAGAUUUUAUUUUGACCAUAAUUAUUAUUUCGGAUUUGUUACCAAUAAAUUUUUGGAAAGUAUAUAUAUAUAUAUAAAGUUCAAUAAUUACACAAGAAAAUAUUUUUUAAAAACAGAACUUGAAUAAUAACAAAGAAAUUAUGAAAAAUCUGCAGAUUAAUUUAUGUGUUAACUUUAUCAUGAAGGAAAAUUACAAUGAAUUAAUAUCUUUUAAUUAAAAAUUUAAGUGACCAGAAAGAGAUAUAAUUCAGAAUGGUGUAGUUUAGUGAUAAAUGAGUUGCUUUUAUAUCAAAAGUAUUAAAAUAGCAUAAAUUUUAUACAAACUGUUUUUGUUGUUAAGAUUUCUUUGAAUGUUCAACAAACUGUUUUUAACUGAAUAAUAUUGGAGAUUCAUUUUUUUUUUCAUCAAUAAUAUUGGAGAUUCAUUCUUAAAGGUUUUUGCAUGAAGCGUCUCAUGGUAAUACUUGUAAACGUAAGGCAUGUGAAUAUAUGAUGCGAGGAGAAUGUGUGAAAGCAAAUGUCUCAGAAGAGACAACAAUAUGUGUAUAUACAUAAUGUGUUCAAUUAAAUUGCUUACCAGCUUAUAUAUUAUGCACACAACAGCGAGCCUUUUGACUUUUUAUAGAAGUGAAAAACGAGAAAUUAAAGGGUCAACAAAAUGAAACAUAAAGGAAAGUAAUUACUUUGACAAAUAUUGGAGUAGGUGAUAAAUAAAAAAAGUGCAACAUUUUGGAAUCGAUUCCUUGUAUAUGUUCUAGAAUAGAUAUGAGCUUUUAUCGACUAAUAAAACGCGUCUUGUUGUGAGAUCUCCUGGUCCGUUUCAGUUUAAUUUUGUAUGAACACGAAAAAAUAGUAAUGGCCGAGGGGAAAAGUAAACAUUGGUCAAUGGAAAAGUAAGUGGAAACAAUAAGAGACGAGAAGCUAAAAAAAUAUUGGUGAAAUAUGCAAACUAUUUAAAAAUUGCAAAAAGCUUAUUUUAAAACAUACAUUACAUCAGGACGUAUGUCGUUACGAGUUAUAUGAAUUGAUUAUUUUUUUGUUCGUCAUGAAUUUGAUUAAUUAAGGCACUAGUUGUAGUCGCAAUCCAUAUCCAUGAUCGUUUAAUUAAAAAUCAUUAGUAGACUAAAUAUUCCUUAUAUAGUUAAAGGCACUAUAAUGACACUUCGGUACCUAUCUGAGGUGGGUUUUUUUUUUCUUUCUUUUUUCUUUGUAAUAAUGUAUUUGAUGAUAAUCCUCACUUUUUUGUUCUGUAAAAUAAUUGUAAAGAAAAAAAGAUAAAUAAUAACAUGUUGACAUAUAAUAACGUAUAUUCAAGUUGUGAGAGGAUCAAUCGUUCAAUCUCGGCUGCCAAGUUUGAUCCUCAGAGACACGUCCCCGCAGCCUCAAAAUACAAUUAUUGUCUUUCCUUUUUUAUUUUCUCACUGUAUACAAUUAUUAUUAUAUAUUUUUAAUUUUAUCAUCACAAUUUUUUUUCUUUUUUAACAUCAUUACUAGGCAUGACCACGGUUACGGUUAAUGCGGUUAUGGUUAAUUAACCACCGGUUAACGGUUAUAAUUUUUUAACCAUAACCUUAAUCAUUAUAUAUACGGUUAAGACGGUUACGGUUAUAUACGGUUACGGUUAAUUACGGUUACGGUUAAAUACGGUUACGGUUAUUUGAUGAUUAUUAUAAUAUUAAUAUUGGAGAUAAAAUUUUAUGAAAUAUUAUUUAUUUUACAAGUAAAAAACAUAUUUGAUUUCAAUUAUUUAUAGUGAAUUAGUUAAAUCUGGGUAUUGUAUACAGUUAUAAUAUAAUUUAUUUUAAAAUUUUAAAUAUGCGGUUAACCGAGCGUUUAACCGUACGGUUAACCGACGAUUAAUUACGGUUAAUUAUGGUUACGGUUAAUUAACGGUUACGGUUAUUAUUAUUUUUUAACCGUAACUAAUUUACUUUUACGGUUAACGGUUACAAUUUUUAACCGUUUUAUACGGUUACGGUCCGGUUACGGUUGAUAAACGAUCCGGUUACGGUUAAAAAUACGGUUAAGGUUAGCUUUUGGUCAUGCCUAAUUAUAUCCAUGUAUUAUUAGUAAUUAAUCUAUUACUAAAGAAUGGGGGUAAUUAACAAUUCAGCAAUUUUGACUCUUGUUCUUUUUCAAUUGGUUAUCUAAUUUAACACUCAUAUUCCUGUUUUAUCUUCUAAUCUAUUAUUUAUUUCUUCAUUAAAAAAAAGACUAAAACGACACCAAAAACAAGAAAUACACAACACUUACUUGCUGGCUGAUGAAUUUUUAUUAUUUAUCCAUCAACUUGGUGAAACUGUUUAGGGGGGAAAAAACAUACAAUUGGUAUUGUAGUACUGCAAUUUUUUAGAAUGUGAAAAUCGUUUUAUUUAACAAUGUUUUUUAUAUAUAAAAAGACAAUAAUAGUAUAAGGUAAAAAAAAAAAAAAGAGAGGUAAUGGAUGAAGAGAGGACCUACACGAGAGAGGGUGACUCAGUCCACGUUCUUCUUCUCGAUUUGUCAAUUAGCUCCAAUUUUCAGACUUUUUUUGCAUUUUCAAACUGUUUCUUUCGUUUUCCUCUUUCUCUGGCCUAUAUAAUUCCACUAUCCUCCACUUCUGUGUUUCCAUCAUCAUUCACCUAAGAAAAUAUCUUCUAAGCUCUCAUCCAUCAUUCAACAACUCUCUUCAAUCUACUUCUCUGUUUCCUCUGUUUCCUCUGUUUCUUGAUUGUUGUUGUGUUUAGCUCGGAAGAUAGAUAUGGGAAGUACUCCGGCUGAGUUACCUUGUGAGGAUGUCGCCGAUAACAGAUCCGGCGUUGGCGGUGGUAUCUCUGAUGUCUACGGUGAGGAUUCCGCCACCUUGGACCAGCUCGUCACUCCCUGGGUUACCUCCGUCGCUAGGUUAGUCAACGCUCCUUUAGAUUUCAUACCCUUUUUGUUUUACUUUGAUCUUUCACAGUUUCGUAGCUUAGUAAAGCUGUUUGCAAGUAAAGUUAGCUUUUUUUGUUUAUUUAGUUUAUAAACUUAAAAGCCAAGAAAAUUUCUGUGAAAUAUGAACUUUAGUUUUUUCUUGUCGUUGAAGUUCCAGUUUUUUUUUUCCUGUGGAGCUUUAUAGUGGAUUGAAAUGUUUUUUUUUUUGUAGUGGUUACUCGUUGAUGCGUGAUCCGCGUUACAACAAGGGACUUGCAUUCACUGAUAAAGAAAGAGAUGCUCAUUACUUAACUGGUCUUCUUCCCCCUGUGGUUUUGAGUCAGGAUGUUCAGGUGACUUGGAAAAUGAGCUCACUUUUUGUUCUGUUUUGAUUUGGGUUUCUUUGUGUUGUUAACUUGUGAUUUGCGGUUCAUUUAUUAGGAGAGAAAGCUUAUGCACAAUCUCCGUCAGUACACUGUUCCUCUACAGCGUUACAUGGCCCUCAUGGAUCUUCAGGUCAGUGAUUGUUCUUAGAAACCAUAGUAGAGAAUACGGCCGUUAGUUUUUCUUAUGAAAUGGUAACUUAUGUAUCUGAGUCUUGCAGGAAAGGAACGAGAGGUUGUUCUAUAAGCUUUUGAUUGAUAACGUUGAGGAGUUGCUACCAGUUGUGUACACACCAACAGUUGGUGAGGCUUGCCAGAAGUAUGGGAGCAUUUUCAGGAAGCCACAGGGUCUCUACAUCAGUUUGAAAGAGAAGUAUGUGUUUAAAAUCUUGUUUACCAGGUCACUUUCCAUUUUGUUUCUCUGAAACACUAAAUUGGAAUGUAUGUUCCUUUAGGGGCAAGAUUCUUGAAGUGUUGAAGAACUGGCCCCAGAGAGGGAUCCAAGUUAUCGUUGUUACUGAUGGUGAGCGUAUUCUCGGUCUGGGAGAUCUUGGUUGCCAGGUAAUAAAAUUGGUCCUUGAGUUAGACACUUGAAACUUAUUCCCAUGUUAUGCUGAGGACCUGUAUUUAUCAUUUAUUGUUAACGUUUCCAGGGAAUGGGAAUUCCAGUGGGCAAACUAUCUCUUUACACAGCUUUGGGAGGAAUCCGUCCAUCAGCUGUAAGCACUAGAACAAAGGCUUCAAUAUAUUUGCCUAGAAAUUAGUUAUACUUGAUUGAUUAUUCAAUGACAAUAGUUUGAUCCUAAGUGCAAAUCCGCUUUCAAAUGCAGUGUCUUCCAAUCACCAUUGAUGUUGGUACAAACAAUGAGAAGUUGCUGAAUGAUGAAUUCUACAUCGGCCUUAAACAACGAAGGGCAACUGGCCAGGUUUACUAAUCUUUUUCAUAUUAUUUCUUUCCCUUCUUAUAACUAAUGCAAUGGUCUUUUUUUUUCAAAAACUGACUAGUCUGUUUGCUUUUUUGUUUUCAGGAAUAUGCAGAUUUUCUUCACGAGUUCAUGUGCGCUGUCAAGCAGAACUAUGGAGAGAAAGUGUUGGUACAGGUGAGCCAUGGGAUACAACUCUCUUAAACACUACGGAUUUUGUUAGAGUUAUUCUUUUUCUUAAGAUGUCCCGGAAUAAUAUCAUACAUACUCUUCUUUUCAGUUUGAAGAUUUUGCAAACCACAAUGCAUUUGACCUUUUGUCUAAGUACAGCUCUAGCCAUCUUGUCUUCAAUGACGAUAUCCAGGUAACUUCUUUACCUCAAGAUUUUGAUUCUAUUUCCUUACAUUUUAGUUGAGAUGGGAGAGAGCUUACCAAGAACUUGUUUUUUGUUUUGUGUAAUUGCAGGGUACUGCAUCUGUGGUACUUGCUGGGCUUAUUGCCGCUCAGAAAGUGCUUGGUAAAACCCUGGCUGACCAUACCUUCUUGUUCUUGGGUGCUGGAGAGGUGAGACAGAAGCAUUAUACUCUAUAAGCUUAUCAAUUUGUUUUGCAUAUAUGUUUUGCUGCUUACACUUUAUCUCGCUGGUUCUUUGAAGGCUGGAACCGGUAUUGCUGAGCUAAUUGCUCUUAAGAUUUCAAAAGAGGUUAGUUAAUCUGUUUUUUUUUUCUUACGUUUUCUCUGUUUUCUGCUAAGAAUAUGUGAUUGAUCAUAUCUCGGUUGUUUUGUAGACUGGAGCUCCCAUCAAUGAGACCCGUAAGAAGAUUUGGCUCGUGGACUCCAAGGUAUUGUUGAGAGCCACCCAGAUCAGGCUCAUUCUCUUUAGUUGGAUAAACCUUCUUGGUUUUUAAUGUAUCUCUUUUCAACUUUAUUUGCAGGGACUGAUUGUUAGCUCGCGAAAAGAAUCUCUUCAGCACUUCAAGCAGCCAUGGGCUCAUGAGCACGAACCUGUCAAGAACCUCAUUGGUGCUGUCAAUGUACGUGAUGAGCUCAUCUUUAAGUUUCUUGAUGGGAGAAUAAAGGAUCUUGAUGUCAGAUGUUUUAUUCUUGUGUUCACUCUUUUUUUUUUUUUAAUACUUUUUCAAACAGGCAAUCAAGCCAACUGUUCUCAUUGGAACAUCCGGUGUGGGUCAAACUUUCACAAAGGAAGUUGUUGAGGCCAUGGCUACUAACAACGAGGUUUCUUUUUGUUCUUCCUUUCUGCUUUCUUUCAAAAAACAAGGUUUAUAUGUUAUUGUUCUAAUACUUGUCUUGGUGUUGGCAUAUAGAAACCGUUGAUUCUUGCUCUUUCAAACCCUACUUCUCAAGCUGAGUGUACCGCAGAACAGGCUUACACAUGGACCAAGGUAUACUGUCUCAUAUGACAUCUAAUGUGAUUAAUGUCUGACUCCUGAUUAUUUAAAAAAUCAUAAUUUGGUUUUGUUGCUGCUCUCAUGUCUAAUCAUAUAUUGUGCUUAAUAUAGGGUCGUGCAAUCUUUGGAAGUGGAAGCCCAUUUGAUCCUGUUGAGUACGAUGGCAAAACUUACUUGCCUGGCCAGGUUCGUGCUGUUUCCACAACUCCUUACCUCUCAACUUUAAAUUUUUCUAUGUGACAAUUUGAGUGCUCACAUCAUAUUUCCAUAAUCCUACUUCACUCAGGCAAACAAUUGCUACAUUUUCCCGGGUUUGGGUCUUGGUUUGAUCAUGUCCGGUGCUAUCCGUGUCCGUGAUGACAUGCUCCUUGCAGCUUGUAAGUAAAAAUAAACACCAUAAAAUCAAACUUGGAUACUGAUGAGUUGUUGUGACAGUCAUUUACAAGAUUCUCAAUGUAACUAUCUCUAACUUGUCUCUCUCUGUUUUCAACAGCUGAAGCAUUGGCAGCACAAGUCACAGAAGAGCAUUUCGCCAACGGUCUGAUCUACCCACCAUUCUCAAACAUCAGAGAGAUCUCAGCUAACAUUGCAGCCAGUGUUGCCGCCAAAACCUAUGACCUCGGUUAGUUGAAUGAAACUGUCUUAACACUUUUAAUGAGACCGUCUUAACUCUAAUCUCAAGGUUCUAAAUCAAUGUAUUUGUGGUAUAGGAUUGGCGUCUAACCUCCCACGUGCAAAGGAUCUGGUCAAGUUUGCAGAGAGCAGCAUGUACAGCCCUGUCUACAGAAACUACCGUUAAAAAAAAGUUUUGUUGAAGAAACACCUGCAGAUUCUCCUAUUCAGAACCCUUAAUAAUAGUUCUUCUUGAAGCUUGUAUUGAGUUUUAUUGUUGCUUGUUCGUUUGAUUUCUACUUCUUCUUCUUCAUUCUGAUGUUGUUUAAGAACUCUCUUUGUAUUUUGCUGAUGAAUAAUAAAUUUUCUAAUUACUACUAUAAUCUUCCCAUCAUUUAUUUGUCUAAAACAUUUCCAACCCCCACUGAGAACACAAUCAACUUAUGCUUUAUCCUGGUUUAGAAUUUCUUUUGUACUCUUCAUAGCCUCAAAGUUCUGAAACUAAGGAACUUCAACUGUUGCUAAAAUAAACGAAUAUGUAUAGAUUUUUUCAUUACUUCGUUUAAAAGAGUUCAUCAAAGUACUUACUUUUCAUUACUUUGUCUUAAAAUCAAAAGCUCAAACCAAAUUUGUUGAAAUGGGGUAAAAUCACUCAAAUUUUGAUUGCGAGCGAAAUUGAAAUUAAGAAAUAAGUUGAGGGAGUAAAUAAUGGUUAAAAAGGUUUUAAGAAAAAACACGUUUGGUUUAAUAAACCGCGUGAUCAUCUCUCUUUCUCUUCUGGAAUAAGCGAGAAGCUCUAAAUCUCAUCUCUCGUCCCUUUUAUUAUAACUUUCAUCUUCUUCUUCUCCAAUCUCUCCUCCGAUCAAAUCCAUUUUUUUUUUUAGCUAUCGACAGAGGUAUGUAAAUUUCGAAUUCUCUGCUUUUCCGGAAAACUCUACUAGCGUUCUGAUCAGAUGCGGCGCGAAUAGUGCAGGCUUGCUUGAAACUACCAAAUUUUGGGUCGUUCUGUGGCUUGUUUCUUAUUGCUGCUAUCAGAUUUUGAUUCUCUUAGAAUUAAGGGAUUUUACAUGUUCUCUUCGUAUGAUUGAUUAUGUCUUGUCAGUUAUUAUGGACUAACCUAGGUUUUGUUUCUAUUACCAGUGCUUUGAUUUUGUUCAAUCGGCUCUGGUUACCUCGAUCUAUGAAUUUCGAUUGCUGAUUUGAAUUGAGUAAUAGAGGCAAUUGUAACAUAACGUGUGUUAUGCCAUGAAUUUAUGAACAAGGGAAUCCUGGGUUUAACUUUUCAUGUUGAGAUUACGAACCUUGGAAUUGACUUCUGUUAACUAAUGUCUUUGGAACUUGUUUACACUCUCGUUUGUAUGAUCAAUUAAUAAUAAUCUUACAUGGUGAUCAGGUUUACACAGAGAAGCAGAACAGAACAAGGAAUUAUAUAAUCAUUCGUUUACCCAAUCUGAACUGCAGCUCAUGGCGCUUAACCCUCAAUUGCUACCCAAUGGGAUGCCGGUUCCCUUUGUUAAUGAAAUGUUCGUUCUAGUCAGAGAUGGUGUUGAGUUUGAAGUCAACAAGAUCCCUGGGUUCGUGUUCCCUUCUCUUUAUCUUUCUUGUUUUUAUUCACUGUGGGUUUGAUUCCAUAACUACUGUGAGUUUCCAAUUUAUAGUAUCGUUUUAGAUGUUUUGGAUCGGUUUUGAGCUAAAAAAGAGCCAAUAAGUUUACUUGUAAAUUAGAUAAGUCUCAGAGCUGUGGGUGUUAAACACUUCCCUAAUGUUCUUAUAUUUUGUUUGAUCCAGAGGGCAUGGAGGUCAGGUUAAGUCCAAGGGAGUGAUUUACUUGUCCAAUAUACGGAUGGUCAUUGUUGCAAGCAAGCCUGUUGAGAACUUUGUUGCUUUUGACAUGCCCCUGGUACAGUAACUUUAUCUGAUGCUUCUCUCUUAUUCAGUUUAUACUAGCUACAAGUAUAUGUUACUAUAUACUACAUGUUAGCUUAUGGACUAUAUGUUACUCUGUAGCUUUUCAUCCAUGCUGAGAAAUUCAAUCAGCCAAUAUUUCACUGCAACAACAUUGCUGGACACGUGGAGCCUGUAAGUAGAAACUUUCAUGUGGAAUUACAAUUUGAAUCCUUGCCAUGAAAUUAGUGUAUACUUAGUGGCAUGUAAUAAUAUUUUCAGGUGGUGCCAGAAAACGAGCAUAGAGCUCUAUACUCAACACACAAUUUCAAGAUCCUGUUCAAGGAAGGUGGUUGUGGGACGUUUGUUCCUCUCUUUCUGAAUCUCAUAUCAUCAGUGAGACAAUACAAUCGACAAAUGCAACAAGCAGCAGAAGCAGCGGCGGCAGCUCCACGAGUUGAUCCUCUUCAAGCCGCUCAGACCCCUGUGGAUGAAAUGAUGAGACAUGCGUAAGUCCCCUCUAAAUCAAAGCUUCUGUUUUGAUAGAGUACUAAAAAGCUGUUGUUUCUGAAAGUCGCACGUGUGGUCAUUGUGUGUAUUUGCAGGUACGUGGACCCUAAUGAUCCAACGAGGAUAUAUUUGCAGCAGCCAUCAGGGGAAUCUCAGUUGAGGCGGAGAGCUUACCAUCCGGGUGCAGCGGAACAUUGACAUUGUCAUACACGAAAAACACACAAAGGCUAUGGAUACAUAAAUACCUAAGGGACUAGUGUUGCAAAUAAGCAAAGGUGUAGUUGGUUUUAUGUUAACCUUGGAAACUAAACGACUUGUGUAAUGAGAAAGACGAGACUUGUUGGGCGUGUGAGUUGUAUCUGUGUGACAGUUGGAUUCAUAUAAUAAUUUGAAAGUUUGGUAUACAUGUCGCACAAAUGAACAAUUACAACACGUCAACCUUAGAAGUAAUCGCAAACAAACGAAGAUGACAGAAGCUUGGGAAGUAUAGUGUUACUUACUAUUGUUGACAAAAAAAAAAAAACCGGUUUGAUUCGGUUUGAUACAAGAAUCUUGUGAAUGGACGACAAAAUUGUAACCUCAGCUCAGGCACCAUAGCAUUUGAUUUUGUGUUCAGCCCGAGUUUUAAGAUUGGGCGCCUUUGAAAUUAAACAACCCAAAGUUACGCCUUUGAAAUUAAACAACCCAAAGUUACUUUUGGAGUGAGGAUCUUAUAUGUUGAACCUUUUUGACUCAUAAACCCCAGUUUCGAGGGCUCUGAGUACGCUACGCACGUCUCCAAUUUAGGUCAGUAGAAUCUGCUUCUUCUCCCUGGUUAGUGUGUCAUUUAAUCUCCGUUUUGUUUGCUCUUGAUCGAAACAUCUUAGAUUUGUGCCUUUGAUGUAUUUUCUGGUAUUUGGAUUCUUGUGCUGAGCUCAAUUGAAGUUCCGAUAUCCUUGAUAGAAAUGUUGAAGCUCUGAUUCGUUUACUCCAAUAGAUUAUCCAGCGGUUUAGCCCUUUUUCACAUUUGCAGCUUUUUAUGCGGUUGUGUUCAUAGUUUGUUCUUAAGAUUUUGAAUCAUCCAGCUGUGUUGUGUCUCUUACCUUCCUAUGUAGCAACCAGGCUUCUCACUGAUUUGUAAUAAAGUUGAAUAAUGGUGUCUUAGCCCGAUAGGGAUCAACCCUUCAGCUUCUUCUUUUAUGUUCUUAAUUCCAAACUCUUUUGAGGGUGUUUUGCAGCAACGAGGAUUCAUAUUGAUUGAUGGACACCCAUAAAGAAUCUCGGGAUCGUGGCCUUUACGGUUUAGUCAAUAAAAUUGGUUAUGCAUUUGGAAUGGGAGCUAUUGGAGGUUCUGUAUAUCAUUUCAUAAAAGGGGCAUACAAUUCCCCAAUAGGUGGUCGUUUGGUCGGAGGUGCACAAGCAGCGAACAUGAAUGCUCCUCGUUUGGGAGGCAGAUUUGCUGCAUACGGAGGCUUGUUCUCAGCAUUUGACUGCACACUGGUGUACAUCAGGAAGAAGGAAGAUCCAUGGAACUCAAUCAUGGCAGGUGCUGCUACAGGAGGGUUUCUUUCUCUGCGGCACGGGAUUGUUGCAGCUUCUACAUCAGCGGUUAUGGGAGGGGUUUUGUUUGGUUUGUUCACAGGGUCUGCGUUAAUGAACAAGUAAAGCUUUUUUGGGUUGUGAUUGUUGACUGAUGACUAAUGAGAGCCUCUCUCUCUCUCUCUCUCUGGGUUGUGUUUGAUGCGUUUUCUAAAAUUUUCGCGUUUAGAUCUUCAUGGUCCUUACUAAAAUGUACUCCAAAGUAACUAUUUCAUCAGUAUUAAUAGAUUUUGUAGCACGACUAUGUUGGAUAUCUUCCGAUCAUUUUUGUGUAAACAUUAUCAAGGAUAUACUUUUGGAUCUUCAAGUGUUUUUACUACAUUCAAUAAGUUCAUUUUUAAAAUUAACGUAAAGCAGAUGAGAUCUCUGGCCAAACCAUUUGGGAAGAAGAGUAAGACAGAAAGAAGAAGGAAUGAGUCGUCACCAAUGUGUAAUGAAGAGGUCAUUGAGCUUAAAAGUCAAAAGUCAACUUUUCACUGAUUUUGAACAUUCUGAUUAAUCCUUGAGAAAGUACAAAGACUGCACACACCAGAUUAAGAACCAAAUCCAUUUCUUGUCAAUAUACACCAAAAUAAAAACAACUCAAAGUGUACUGAGGCAGAUAUAAUAAGCACAGCCUCAAGUAGAUCGAUCAUUUGGUUUCUCACUUAUUUACAUACAACCCUUAAGAGGAUCUUCACCCAUAACCAACACGACCAUCCACUCAAAACCAAAACAAAACCAAGACCCCAUGGAACCCAACCAGGAUCUUUAGAUUACAGGUUUUGUCCCUAAUUAUAUCCCUCAAAUAAACUUGUUUUCUUUUUCUUUUUUUCUUUUGCUUAAAAAUCAGCGUUCCUUCUCUUUUGUACCCUAAUUCUAUUCACCUGAAGUAAUAGAAUUACAAGAAGAGAAACAAACAAAACAAAAAAAAACAAACUGAAAUCCCCACUCCAAACUGGGGCAGGACUGUUUUUAGUUGUUCUGAGGAAAAUUACCUGACAAGACUUUGUCACGACUGCCAAAAAAGCUCAAAAUCCUUACUAUACAAUGAGCGGUCUUGUAUCUCCAAGUUUGCUACAUGUCGAUUUAUGAGUUGCGACUGCAUUAUCUUACACGCGACCAAUCCUGCUGGGAAUAUCCACCAUUCACUUUCACCCCUGCAUCCCCAAAACCGCUCAAACAUCGCAAACCCAAUAGACCAAAACAUAAGAAUACAUAGAGAGAGACUCUUUUUAAGUAUUACUUUGCAUAGUAGUAAAACUCACAUGUUUAUAUUCCAUGGCUGAAAUGGAGUUUUCUUGCUGGCUGAUGAUUCACUAUUAUAAUGAACAUAUCCGCAGAGGAAAGCUACAAACUGUCACAAAAUCAAAAUUUGUCAGAUAACGUGAGAUAUGUCAUGUCCGCAUAUCUAAAGAAUCGACCCAUAAUGUCCACAGAUAUAACAAAUAUAUUCAUCCUCAUGUGAAAUGAACCACAAAUUUCAUAUUGCAUUUCUCCACAAAAUAGGUUGUCAACAAUGCAAACUUACCACAUUGACUAAGGACAUGAAGUUCCACAAAGCGUAUACACGUGCUAAGCCAGCAGAACGCCUGGGUCCAUGGCUGAAUAAGGCAUUGAUCCCAGCAGGGAAUGGUAGAAGCAAGCCGAGCGGUAAUAUAAACAAAGCCAACAGUACAUCCAGCAAAGAAAUCGAAUAUAGCUGGAGCAGUGUGAGCAAGACUAAACUAAAAUCUCCUAAAAGUAACAUUGAGAUAACUAAGCCAACCAUAUCCUGCAAUAUCACAAAGAUAACAGAGGAAAGAGACAUUAAUAACUCUAGAAAAGAAAAGUUGGAUGUCACAGCAUUUAAAUACAUUCAUACCAUAAGGAUUUUGAUUGGGAAGUACCUGGUGACCCACUGGUUUAGUGUUGUGAACUAAGAAAGAGAGAAGGAAAAACAUAUCUCUCUUCUCUUUCAGACUCGGUAAGCUGUCAAGGUCGAUUAUCCCUCCAUAGUUCUUUCUGCGUGUUGUAUAAUCAUCACUGUUUAUAUGGGUUUGGUUGAAGAGCAUACUCUCUCUUAAAUGUGCUUGAGAGUUUUCUUUAUGUGCAUGCACACCAUACCUAGGAGUUACAAAAAACAGGACAUCAAAAUUCCGCAUAACUAGAUACGAAGUGCACAGCGAAAACAUGCUAAAAUGUGACACCACAAAAGAAAUCUUAAAACUCUAAAGUGAUCAACAGAUAGAAUAGUGGUCAUCUUGUUUAUCUAGAUUUCUCAGUUCAUAUUUUAUAUUAGGCUUAAAACAAUACAACACACUUAAAAGAAAGAACAGUAUCGUGAAGAUUGCUUUUCACCAUGAAUGGAUUGGAUGUAAUUUCACAUUCAUUUACCGUGGUUGGAUAUCAGUCCAUGCUGUUUCACUGACACACUGAGGUGAUGUUGGUUCACAAUCCUCAAGAGUAUGAAUCAGGAGACCAUAUUGGCAGUAACCGCAAGCUGUAGUCUGAAACCAGGCCAGAUCAACCCGUAUGCAAUGUGUCUCUAGAGCAGGAUUAGCAUGAGUUUCUAACCAUCUCAAAACAGAAUGAAAAGUUGAUCUCAGACGCCCACGGCGAACAAGGCGUAAUUGAGCAUUUACACCAGCCACCAGUCUGUACCAAGUAGUGGGCGGGACGAGCUGGAAAUGUAAACAAUGACAAAGAAUCAAUGCAACCUUUAACAUAACUGCUAAAACUGCUUACGUAACCUAAAGCACUAACCUGACUCAUCAGACUGGUAAGAAUGUUGUCAUUUUGAAGUGAGAAAGGAGCCAUGUAACUGCCAUCACCACCAAACAAUAUGGGCAUAGGAAACCUUUGAUGAAGCCGAGGUGGAAGGUCCAUCCUUUUUUCAUCCCCACCAAGAAAGAAAUCCAGAUACGCAAGCAUCAAAUCGGAGGUUGCAGCGACCUAUAUUCAAAAAUAUAUAUAAUACUAAAUCUUAUAACAACAAAACCUUGAAGGGAAUGAGAUUUUCUCAAAAUCUGUUGUGUUGAGGAACUAUGGGAUCAAAUAAAUCAUCAAUAAAUUACCUUCAGACCCUCGUAUAAAGCUCGGGAGCGACAGGAGCGUAAACAGGAAUGGUCAUAUUCUGAACGUACAAACUCACGUAAUUUUUGCAACUUCAGCUUCCGCCGCCAUUGCUGCCAUGACCAUGCGAGUGGAUAUGCAACUACUGAAAGAAUACUAUAUAUUGCACCUUCCCACCAUUGAUAUGCAGCUAUAGAGUUGAUUUCGUCGACAAAUGUGUUAAACGCAGCCUCAUAUCUAAAGAACCCAAAACCAAUAUAAGAAUAUUUCAGAGCCAAGGCCACUUAUUAAGUAUCUAUUGACAAAACAAUAUGAACAAUUCUCAAUCUGCUUGAAGAUAAAAUAAGAAACAACUAACACUAUCUCUUUUAUCUCCUCCGGGGGAAUGUGCGAGAGAUGCCACGGCUCACUGAAUGUAUUAGGACCCAUAAAAUACAUUCUAUGCACAUGACUCUGAGAUUGCUCAGCUCUAUUUGUUUCCAACACCUGGCAAAGAAUAACAUUAUAAACAGCAGCACAACACUAUAAUAUAAGGAGUGUCUGGCAGGUUAUUUCACUCAAUCAUGUCUGCUGGACAAACAAUACUUGCAUCUGGGGUGAAACAUCAGCGAAUACUAAAAUCAUUAUUUAGAUCGAAUGUUUACAGACAAAUAAAAUCAUCUAACCUCAUUUAGUGAUUCCAGGAAAGGGAAGGAAUGAUCUAUUUGUGAGCCAUGCUGAGUGGGAGCAGGGCCAGGUAGAUCAUCAACUCCAACAAAUUUCAUCCGUGCAACACUAAGUACAAGUGCUAAGAGGAUGAGGAGACCCAUCAGAAGGAGACCAAACAACCAAGGCCCACCAAAUGUGUAAAUUAACUCCUCGAGCGCGGUGUAACAGUGUGGCAUGUGAUACCUUUCCGAUAUGCAUCGAUAUGGACAUGGUGUCUCAGAAACACCACCUGUGUAGCAAAUUCCAAGGUUUAUAGUUGAGACAUGAGCCUUUCCAGCACCAGUUUACAGGCACUAAAAACCAUAUCAUGAUUUAAAUUUUCAACCACAGUUAAAAUCUACAUACUUGGUAGUUGAAUAACUUAAUCAGAAUCGUGGCAAAAUGAAUAGAAACGAUUUAUUUAGUUGAACGGAAAACAAAACUUGUCACUGAAAGUUAGGAAAAAAGUUAUAGUGCAUAUGUAAUAGACAAUAGCUAAAGAUAUAAGUGGAUGCUAUUUAUACCUCGAACUGGGACAUAGACAGCACGAGUUGGAAGCUCAUCAACAGGACAACGACGACAAAGUGAAGGGUCCGAUCCAGUAACAUUUUUGAAUGUACCAGAUGGGCAUUCCUGAAGAAAAUAAUAGAAUUGUGAAUACAAUGAGCUUCGAAAACUACAGUAGAAAUUCAACUGUGAUAAGGAAACUAAAGGCAAAUAGAAAAAUGUCACCCCUGUGAUCUGACAGAGCAGGAAAGUGUUAAACCGUUUUUUUCCUAACCUUACAAAAUAUACCAUGGAGUCCUUUCGGACAAUCUGUCCCAGUUAUUGUGCCAUUUUUGCCCAAAAACUCAUCAUCCACUGCCGCUCCCCCUCUACGAUUACAAUACAAAAAUUGUAAAUGUGAUAGGCUGGAAAACGAUAUCCAAAAAUAAAUGGAUAUGGGAAAUGCAGUAAAUGACGGGAAACACACAUUAAUUAUCAUGGGAAAUGCAGAGGUAUAUAGAGGACAUACCGUGCAUGAAUUAUUCCUUUUACACUAGCAAUUGGCUGGUAUAUGUCUCCAGUGGGAAUGUUUGACCAAUGAAAAUGAAUCCUCCCACCUCCGCCGCCACCACUACCAGCAGGACUGCCAGACCCACCACCACUUGAGAGAAGAGACGACUCUCCUAACAUAAGAUAACGCAGGAACAAAAGGACUGUUCCACCAGAACCACCUCCAGGUGCUUGAAUAGACCCGUUUUCAUCUCUACUCAAACGUUUGACACUUUCUCCAUCAACCCUAAUAGAGCCUUCAAGUGAUAAACCAGAUAGAGGUUGCUCCAUCGAACCAAUCACUGACCAGAUUCAAAGGAAAAGAGAGAACAGUUUAAACGGUUUUAUCUUGAAAGCAAUAAGCUCUCAGAGCAACCACAUGUAAGCACGGUAGUGUAUGGACUAAAUAAUGUCAAGAUUCUACAACGUUUAACGGGCUACGAACCAUACACUUGUAAUAAAAUUACAAUGUAUAAUUUGCAAAUAUUUGACACAUGAAAUAUGAAUAUAGUCAUUAGAAGCUUGACUACAUCAGACAUUUGCAUCAAGUCAUACGAUGACACAACCUAUCCUCUCAAGUUUAAUGGAGCAGAAUCAAUCAAAUUUUCUGACGUUUCAUACCUACAAUACCACCACCAGCAGAUGAAUAACCAGGGCUAUAAUCACCACUUCCACUGCCAAGCUCACAAGGGAGAUUUGCAUUUCCAUAUGUAAUUCCACCUUCAACACAGCUGUUAUUGUAACAUACACGCCCCCCCUUACCACCAUGCCCACCACCACUGCCAAUGCCAUUUCCGAGCAAUUUACCUUCACCUACACCACCUCUACAACCUGUGAAACACAUUUAAACAUAUGUAUGUUUUUACGAAACAUAUUAAAAGAACGUAGGAUCAUAUCUUCUUUCUCCCUAUACGGAGGUAGCACCUUAAAUCGUAUAUUGAGGGAGUAGGCCCAGGACAUGCCCAUAAGAAAUGUAAAAGUCCAAAAGUAUAUAGUUAUUGUUACCCAUUCCACUGGCACUAAUCUCCCCAGAGGUUUCAAGGGUUACAGUUUUUGCUCGGUGGAAAUGAACUACUGAUCCUUUAAUGAAACCUUCGACAAGAAUAUCCUCAACUCGGCAUAUCUAGAAAGAAAGAAAGUUACCAGACUUAUCAUGCAAGAUCUUAAAAUACUAGUUAAAGAAAGGUAGAAAUACCUGUAGGGUAAAGGACAAAGAUGAAUUGACAUUGCAAUCCUCUGGAGGAUUCAGUAGUUCAUAAGGGCAAUCUUGCCGUUCACAAUAGAGCUUUGGGGUACUGCAAAGGAUGGGAGUUCAAAUAUUGUUAGCUGUUUAUAUAUCCGAUGAAUAAUGCAAUCAAACUACGUAUAGAUGGCAUUUUCCUUCAAACUCACACAGCAUCUCGGGACGCAUUCUGCAGAGGAGCACGCAAAAUGGACCCAGGCCCGACCUUCAAAUGCCAGGGAAAAAAAAAUCAGUAACUCCUACAUGGCUAAAUCAAAUACCUUUCUAUAUCUGCUAUAUUAAAGCCAAUAGGGACUUUAAAGGAGACUGAUUGUCAAAUUAUGCCUGUAUCGUCACAUUUUCAGAGCUAACAGACACUAUCUUUGAUUCUGCACAAAAUACAGGAUGUAACCCAAUGCAGGAUUGUUACCAAACUAACACACUGACUUACAUAAAUCCGGUAAAACAGUGACAAAACAAGCCGUUGUGCUUCAAUCGAAUCCCCUGGUCCGGUUAGAUUCAAGAAACCUUGUCCAUGGACUCCAAGAUUUGCAUUUGAGCGGAUGACAGAUGAUCCCUAUAUUUAGAUAGAGAGGUCAUACAAACAAAUUAGAUGCCUCGGUAUGUCACAAAUUACUUGAAGAAGAAAAACAAUGACAUGAAUUAGUGAGUACCCUAAGAACGAAUAAAUUGCUAGCCUCAAGUAUGGAAGUCGCAACACUUGGAUCUCCCCCUCCUCCAUCUAUAUGCAAUUCUGAAUUCCACAUCAAGAACAUCUUGACAGUCAUUCUUAAUGCCCCAUAGACCUGGUACAUACCAAUAAACAUAAACAUAAUGAACAAGUGAUUCACAUGAAUACCAAAAUAGAUUAUGGAGUAUGACAAAAGGCCAGGUAAACCAAGAAUGAAGCAGAUAUUAGAAACACAAAGAAAUAUUUAUAUCUGGCAUAGACGGAUACAGUGCUGUGUCGCUAUUGCCGAAAAAAGUGGAGAAUCAGGAUAAGAAUUACCUUGAUAGUAGAAUCACUCAUUAAGAGUUCUUCCGCCAAUAACUCAAAUACUGAUGUACCAUAAUGAGCUAAGCCAAAGCUCAAAACACCACCACACAAUAAACUAAUUUGUCCUUGAACCUACAUAAUGAGUUCUGUUUGAGUACUACGUCUUCAAUUAUGCAAAAUAAUAUGCUGAAACACAGGAGAUUCCACUAUAUACUUUUAAGAAACGUAUAUAGAGUAGAAAAAAGGAUACUAGAGUGGCAGAAAGAAAAUAAACAAAGCCUCACAGAUUGUGGUAAUAUAAACAUAGCAAGGUGAUAAAUCAGUUUGUCUACAAAGAGUACUGAAAAUUAUUUUCGACAUACCUGGACACGACUCCAUAACAGAGGACAAGUUGCUCGCGCUUUAUCCUGAAUAUAAACAUUGGUCCAAAGUGGCUGGAAAGGAAAUUCUAAGAGAAGCGUAUAAGUGUCUGUCGUCAUGUUGUAGUUGCUCACGAAUAGGCUUCGGGGAACAGCAUCAUAUAGCGUCCCAGCAGCACCUGCGUUAUCUGGACAACCGAUACUAUAUCCGCCUGUGUAUAGGAAGAAUAAGAUCAGUUCACAUGAUUGUAGAUGUUAGGCAAGUACGUAUUGGAUAUAGUGGCUCAAAACAAAAACAAAAAUUAGAUAAAAUGUGCAGAUGUAAAGAAGCUAACCAUGCACAAAGAUCUUUGGGUCAUCAUGCCUGCUAAAGAUAUCGACAGAUACUCUUCCACCACCCCCACCACCAUAACCACUCCCACCACAUGCACUGAUCAGUCCAAUUCCAGUCCUGCACUUCACAGAACAGCAAAGCAGAGGAUGCUAGCUGAGAUCAAUUUAUCAAGAAUCUAAGAAGACAAAAGCCUCACUACCACCCAUUAAAAUUAGCAAAGACAAUGAAUUGUUCACGUGUACCAUACAACAGCAAACAACACAUCUUGAAGAAUUAGGAGCAAGAUCUAAAAUCUUUCAAAAGUAAUGUCAUAAACAAGAUCAUCACUUAAUCGCAUAUUUCCAAUUGAAAACAGAAACUCAUAUGCACAGUACUAGAAAUUUUUACUGUGAAAGGAAACUGCAAUUGUGUUUCAUAUCUCAAAACUCGACUUGCCCUACGCUAGGAUUAUGAUCUUGAGAAACAAUCAGGACCAAACAAGUAUUGCAAAGUUUGCCUUCUCAGCUGCCUAGAAAGAUCUAAUAUAUAUGCCUUUAAUCAAAUCGAAUAGCUAGUGAAAGAGAGCAUAGAAACGAAAGUUCAUUACAUCUUGUAUGCCUUGAUGUAGAUGCUGCCCCCAGCCCCACCACCGCCUUUUGCUCCUCCAUAACCUCCAUUUGCCAAAAUGCUUCCGUUAACAUCCAGAAGCUGCAGAAUAUCCAUCUUCACUUUCCCACCUCCUCCUCCUCCAUAAUCAAUCUCUCUGCUCGUUGACCCUCCUUUACUACCAUAGCUCCACGGCCUCUGCAGAGUGGACCACGAGUAUGCAUCACCUCCCCACACAUCUUCAGGGAGCUUCUUAGUGUCAGUCAAACAGCAAGCGCCUCUACCACCAUGUCCACCACCAGCACCAUCAAUCCCCUGCGGCGUCCCACUAGUCUGUGGCGGAGGGUUCCCAGCUAAUCCCGUGGUGUUCACAGCCGACCCGUUAGCAAAACUAGCAUUACCAGCUGAAAGCUCCAAUGUUCCAGCGACAAUUGUAGAUUCCGCACCCAAAGAAAAGUUUCCAGAAACAUUGAUAGCUAUAGAGCAACCAGGGAAUGGACAGUGAAACUUGACACCAGGCAGGAUGAUAAAAUUACCCUUCCCAGCUAUAUACACAUCGUGCGUAAGGUUCAAAUCGGCGACAAUCUUACAAGUGGUAUCCAAAAACCCAACGCCGCCGAGAUCCUCGUUACAAGAUACCGACGGUCCGUGCGGUGGUGGCGGUGGUGGAGCAGGCGGAGAGUAAUCCUGAUGGAAAAGCAACGACUCUGAAUCGGAGUCCAAAUUCGAAUCAGAACCCGAAUUCGGUUCCACAAUGGUAAAUCGAUAGCUUGAACUAGGGUUUACGGCCAAAACCGCAACAAGGACCAAGGAGAAGACGAAUUGGAAAUGAAAUCGAGCCAUCCACUAGUAUCAAUAGUCAUCACAGACGAAGUCAAGUAAGGUUUUCGAUUCGACCCCAAUUCGGGUCAUUGAGCAAUAGAGGUUGAAGAACUGAUGAAAUCAAAACAAAAACCCAAAUUCACAAAACCAACCCUCUCUUCUGUUCUAUCUCCACCACACGACACUUAUGACUUAUGCAUAAAUCAACAUAGGCAUGAAUGCGUUUUCAGUCGUCUUGUUGAAGAAGAAGAAGAUAUGAAGAAGAAAAAGCGCAUAAACAUUCAGCGUAAAAUGGGACUCUUUAGAGAGAGAAGUGGUGCUUUUCCUUUCUCGGAGGAGAGAGAAAGAGAGGGAAGGGGGAGCUUCCAAGAAGAAAGAAACACAGGUUGGAACGGAGAGUUGUUAGGAUCAGGUACGUGCGACUUCACUGUAAUCAGCUAGAUUUUAGCUAAUCGUCUUUCGCCACGUCAUUUAUUUAGAUUGCUCCAAAAGGCAACGCUGCUGUGCAUCGUGGUUCACAUGGACUGGAUGUGUCAGCGGUAUCUGAAUUUAUUUUCUUACCGAAUCAAAUUGCGACACAUGUCGUGUUACGUUUAAUUACUGGAUUUGCUGUUGGAUUAAGUAGUUAAUUAAUGACGUCUUGGCUUUUAAAAUUUAAAAGUUUAAACCGUCAGGAAUUACGUUCGGACAGUUAAAGGUGCCCGUUUAGAAUUGGGCUUUGAUGGGCCAUGUUUCUUCCCAUGGGGUACAUAAACACGCGCCAAGCUUUGAGCGUGCGAGUGUUUGAUUUUGGAGAAACAACAAGAGAAUGCUAAGUAAAAAACAAAUUUAAACAAAUCUGGCUGGCCCAAUAGAAAACUAGCAGCAUUAUCAUCACCAAUUUAAAAAAAAAAAAUCAUCGAAACCAAUCUUUUAAUCAGUUCGAUUUUUACGUUAUGGAAUCUGGAUCACAACCCCCUCAUUGUUUGAAAUGGAGAAUGGUAUGUAUAUAUGCUUCAGGGUAUUGGUGUGUAUGCUAACAGCUUAUAGCUUCAAAAACAUCUGAAAUGUUUCUUGAUGAGGAUGUAUUACAUGGGACAUGGCUUGGGAGUUGGGAAGACUAUGUUUAGAGUAAGAGAUUGUGCAUGGUCAACAUAGACCAAUCUAAACUAGUGGGAUACGUAUAUAAUUUGAUAUUACGUGAAGUAAUUGAUUGGUAAGUUUGGUAAAAACAAAUGCAAUUUGACUUACGUAUGACUCAUCAUGCUGACUUCUUCAAUAAGACAAUAAGUACACUUAAUUUAGAGAAAUAUGUCAGCUAUGAUCUUAUCUGACCAGUAUCCAACCGGGUUAUUUUUGCCUAGUCGUUGUCUUAGUAUAUUUGGAUACAAAUUUGACUUAUCCCGUUCUCCGUAACCAAAAUCUAUCUUAUGUUAAUGCUCUUUGUAUUAAUGGAAUGGAAUGGAAUGAGAGAACUUAUGGACACGAUGAAACGCUUCAAAGGAUACAAACGCAAAACAAGUGAAAAUGAUUUUGGUUAAUCGUCUUAUCAUAUCACAUUGUCCUAACAAAUCACAGAAAGAACCAAAUCACAUUGUCCUAAGUUUCUAACUAAUCACCUUAUACAUUGAAUGGUUCGUGGACAAUGUGGUUCUUAAUUCUUUUAAAUGACCCCAAAAAAAAAAACAAGGAUGAUGAUCCAAAGGGGUAAUAGAAAACCACCCAAUACGGCCAUGAGUUUCGGAUGAUGCGGAUCAGCUACGGUCAGCUCGAGAGUUACCCAAUAAAUUCACAGUUAAUUUUUUUUUACGGCUUAAAAAACACAAUUACGCGAAAAUUCGGUUUCUAGGUGCCACUUUUUGUUGUUGUUGUUGUGAUUACUUUUCCUUAAGGGAAAAAAAAAAAAAAACUCAUAAAACAAAACAAAGACGAGCUCAUCUUUCCCUGAUCAGAUCUAAACUUCUCCUCGCACCCAAAUUUUGCCAGCUUUCGUUUCUCUGUUCUUAACAUUUUCGCGAAUUCAAAAAUGGAUUUCAUGAAGGUCUUCGAUCAAACGGUUCGAGAGAUGUGGGUUUGCCGUUUCGUCUUGUCUAUUCUCCUUCUUCGAUUUCGAUCCAAAUCCGUAGAUCUUUUUUGGUUUUAUCGUUUUUUUUUUUGCCGACUGAUCUCGUUGAGUUUUCAAUUUCAGAAAGAGGGAGGUGAAUCUGAAAGUUUUGAAGGUCCCUGAGAUGGAGCAGAAGGUGAAUUCAUUUGAUUCGUAUCUAUUAUAUGUGCAAAAUGAUUGAGAACUUUCUCUAGUGUUAGCUAGAAUCAUGAUGUCUCUGCGAAGUAAAGAGUUACUAGUCCUCAACAGCUGAGCUCGAUUUAUUACGUUUCUGUUUCCGGAUGCUGUAUCCGAGAUUAGAUCCACCUUUGGGACUAAGAAAUCUCGAGUUCCUAUUCAAUGAAUAUACAAUUUAAGCUUGAGCGUUGAUGUUUAUAUUAGAUAAGUUUUGUAAGGUUUAAGUUGGUGGCUAUGCGUAUUGUAGUUUUGUAAGGUUUAAGUUAUGUGUUGAUGUUUAUAUCCUCGUUUCCUGGAUUCUCAGUUUCAUCAUGUCUUCAAUUUCACUUUGUUCAUUUCGACUCCUGUGUCUAUGUUUAGUACAGGUAUUGGAUGCUACGGAUAAUGAGCCUUGGGGUCCCCAUGGUACUGCAUUGGCAGAGAUAGCACAGGCCACGAAGAAAUUGUAAUCUCUGCCUUCAUUUUCUUUCAUGAGUCCUUUUUUUUUUUGGGUAUGAUUUUACACGGUAAGAGUUUUGAUUUUAAAAUGCUUAACAUGUGCGUUUGGAAUAUGAUUAGCUCGGAGUGCCAGAUGGUUAUGAGUGUUUUGUGGACUAGACUUACUGAGACAGGAAAAGAUUGGCGAUAUGUCUACAAGGUGAAAAAUCUUCUUGACGUUUUUGCAGUAUUUGGAAGUUUACUGUAUAUAUUUUUAGUGUAACCUGAGUUUUUUUUGUCUACCAGGCAUUAGCUGUCAUCGAUUAUCUGAUUUCAAAUGGAUCGGAACGAGCUGUUGAUGAGAUUAUUGAGCAUACUUACCAAAUAUCUGUCAGUUUAUCUUUCUUACACACUGAUUUUGGUUCUCUCAGGGUGGAUAUUGUAAUUUUUCUAUUGACAUGGUGUUUGUUUUGUGAUUUGCCAUCCAUGUAGUCUCUCACGAGUUUUGAGUAUGUUGAACCAAAUGGAAAAGAUGUGGGCAUCAAUGUGAGAAAGAAGGCAGAAAACAUAGUCGCUCUCUUGAAUAAUAAAGAGAAAAUCUCAGAAAUCAGAGACAAAGCAAUAGCAAAUCGUAACAAGUUAGUGUUUAUACAACUGCAUAUUCGGUUUGCCUUUUCUUCUUUAAACGUUGCAUUUAUCGGGUUAUGUUGCCUCCAAUCAGGUACGUUGGACUCUCAUCCACGGGGAUAACAUAUAAAUCUGGUUCAGCUUCAGCAUCAUUUGGUGGUAGUUUUCAAAGUGGUUCAAGCAAUUAUGACAGCUACAAGGAUAGGGAUUCCAGAGAAGACAAAAAUGACUACGAGUCUUUUCAAAAGUCAAGGCGCGGUGUUAAAAGUGACGAGCAAGGCUUUACUUCAAAGAAGAGUUUUUCACGCUAUGGCAGGUUUUAUGUCAACCCCUUUCAUUUCUGAUGUUACGUUCGUUACAGAUUUUGAAUAUAUUUCAAUUUGUGAGUUUUAUUUCCCAGAUGAGGCUGCUUGUUUCCUUUUAUCUUCUUGUUUCUGUUUUCGUUUACGACUCAUUUUGUGUUUUUUUUUUUCUGAUGUAGAGUAACUUACUUUUUCAUUAUUGCUCAAUUUAGUUCAAUUUUGAAUGUGCAGCACGGACCAUGAUAAUCUAUCCACUGGAAAAAAGUCACCCGACUCUGCCAAGUAUAGUUCACAUGUGUCUGCAGCACCUUCAAACAACGAUGAUGAUUUUGAUGAUUUUGAUCCACGUGGAACUUCCAGCAAUAGUAUGUUUUUUUCUAGACUGCUGAGCUUUCAGAUUGUUUAUCAUUUAUUGGACAUUUAAUUAGUUUGAUAACUUAUAGGGAACAACAUGUAUAUAUGAUAGAUGAAAGUCAUGUCUUAUCUGUAUCGGUUUCGUUUUGGCAGAGCCAGCCGCAGGCAGUGCUAACCAAGUGGACCUUUUUGGAGGAGAUCUGAUUGGUGACCUCUUGGAUUCUGGGCCAACAGAAACAUCCACCACCAACAACAACGAGAAAUUUCAAGAUGCGGACUUGUUUGCUGAUGCAACUUUUGUAUCAGCCUCGGCUCAGGGAACAGGAUUUGGUUCACAGUCACCGGUGGGCAACUUCUUCCAUCUAAGCUAGUAUAAGGCUUUAAACAAAUGAAAAUUUCCUUAUUAACGUUCUAUCUGAUUCAAUUCUGCACUGCUUGACAAACAUGCUCAGUUUUCGUUGUUGAAGUUAUAACGCGUCAUUAUGAAUUGUGCUAUUGAAUCAUAGACUGAUAUGUCUCCCCAUGUCUGUUUCUACAGAAAGAAGUUGAUCUUUUCUCUGCGUCUGAACCUUCUGUCACAGUUUCUUCAGCUCCUCCGACAGUUGAUCUUUUUGCAUCUCCCGAAUCCAUUGCACGCCCAGAAGCCAAUAUAUCUAAACCUGAGUCUAUGACCACUCCCAACAUUGUUGACCCAUUUGCUGCAGUUCCAAUGGAUAAUUUUGAUGGAUCUGAUCCUUUUGGUGCCUUCACUUCCCACUCGGCUUCAGCCUCUACAGGUCCACAGGCUCCAAAUGUACAAGGGAGUGCAGCAAACACUACAAGCCCGAUGUCUUUGGCAGACUCGAAGCCACAACACUUGCAAAAGAAAGAUCCUUUCCAAGUGAAAUCUGGAAUUUGGGCAAAUUCUCUGAGCCGUGGACUGAUUGAUCUCAAUCUAACUGCUCGUAAGUCAAAACUUCCCCCUUCAUCCAGAACUCUAUCAUGUGCCAUGCACUAGUAUGUGGUAGUGAACUAUUAAGAAAAUUGUAUUUUUCUCAUUAGAUGCAGAUAAAACUGAACAGGUAUAGUUGGUCAAUUACAUUCCAACGAAUUGUCAAAUAGUUGAUUAAACCACUCAAACUUCUUCGGUCAUAUAGAAUUUCAAUACCAUGUACCUUGACUUUGCAUUGUGUCAAGACAAAUAAAUGGUCGGGUUUAACUUUCUAAGUGCGAUCUCAGUCCUGACUAUUUGGUUUUCCUUGUAAUCAGCCAAAAAAGCUUCUCUAGCUGAUGUGGGCGUGGUGGGUGGUCUGAGCAAUGAUGAAGGUAACAAAGCAUCUGCUGCUUCGUACUACUCAGGCUGGUCCAUGGGUGCAGGAUCAGGGCUCGGUAAAACUGGUCUAUACAGUACACAGCAGCAGCAGCAACAACAAGCACAUGAUAUCUCAGAUGAUUUCUUCUCCAGCCUCAGUAACCAAAACUACCAAUCUGGAGGCUUUAAGUAGUGAAUUUGUCCGGGAUAUUCGUAUUGAGACGGAAAAGGCAUAUCAGGUUUGAGUCUACAUUCAAUACUGGAAAUCUAAGUAAUAUUUUUUUUUAAUUGGCUUGUUGUUCUUGCACUUCAUUCAUGAGACGAUCUGGUCGGUGGCUGAUGUGCCAUUGUUGUUGUGGCAUUUACUUUGGGUUUAAAUGAGAGAUAAGAAGAGAUAAGAAUUGUCUAUGGUUUUUGAUAAGAGAGUAUUAUUAUUGGGUUUAAGUUUUGUUUUGUUCAUACAAAAUAAAUGUAUCUGAGUAUCUCGUCCGACUCUUCAAAGAUUUUUGCUAUCGUGUGUGAUUCUUAAUCCAAAGAGACUCCAACGUUCUUCUUAAUUAUGUUUUCUGAUUUUAUUCAGAAACUGCGUACACAUUGACGUAAGUUCAUAUCUUAAUGAUUAUGUUUAAGACUAAUCUUAUUACACUAUUUAGUUAACUUGUCACGAAUGACUUAAAAUAUAGGUUAAUCUUAUUUACAAAGAAAAUGAUUAAAUUGGAACAGAAAGAAAGAAAAAAAACUAGUCCAACACAAAAAUAAAAAAUGUCAUCUCUUCACUGGUUUACCAAUAUCGUCUUCGUCGUUGUCGUCUUCUGCUCCACGAGUUUAGCUUCACCCUUACAUGGAAGCUCACAGGUUGUACUAGAAGAAGAAACCACAGUAGUAGGAUACGGCUACGUCGUUAGAUCAGUGGCUGUUGAUUCCAAUGAGAAGCUUUUGACGGCGAAUCUUGACCUGAUCAAACCGUCGUCCGUUUACGCACCGGAUGUGAAAUCGCUUAGUCUUCAUGCCAGGUCCUUAUAAUCUUCUCCGUUCUUCUCUCACUCUUAGCAAUAUAUCUAAUUUGGCAAGUUUUUUAAAGUUAUUUUAAAUGUGCGAUAAUUAAGGAAAGUUUUAUGAUUGUUUGGUAUAUAUUAUAUGUGCAGCUUGGAGACGAGUGAGCGUUUGAGAAUCAGAAUCACAGAUUUUAGUCAACAAAGAUGGGAGAUACCGGAAAAUGUUAUUCCUCGCGCCGGAAACCACUCUCCUCGCCGUUUCGUAACGGAGGAAGUAGACGGAGGAAACUCGCCGGACAGCAAUUUCUUAACAGAUCCAUCAUCGGACUUAGUUUUCACACUCCACAACACCACGCCUUUCGGUUUCUCCGUCACCCGACGCUCCUCCGGCGAUAUCCUCUUCGACACUUCGCCGGAUCAAUCAGAUCCGAGCACUUACUUCAUCUUCAAAGACCAAUUCCUUCAACUAUCUUCCGCGUUACCGGAAAACAGAUCGAAUCUGUAUGGUCUCGGGGAGCAAACCAAGCGAUCGUUCAGGCUAAUCCCGGGUGAUACUAUGACUAUGUGGAACGCCGACAUCGGUAGCGAGAAUCCGGAUGUUAACCUUUACGGAUCGCACCCGUUUUACAUGGAUGUAAGAGGAUCAAACGGUCAUGACGAAGCAGGGACGACUCACGGCGUUUUGUUGCUGAACAGCAAUGGAAUGGAUGUGAAGUAUGAAGGACAUCGGAUUACUUACAGUGUGAUCGGAGGAGUCAUUGAUCUCUAUGUGUUCGCUGGACCAUCACCUGAAAUGGUGAUGAAUCAGUACACAGAGCUUAUUGGAAGACCUGCUCCUAUGCCUUACUGGUCAUUUGGUAAGAGACAUUGUGCUGUUGCAUUUUGUUUGCUUAAAAGUUAGUCCAUAGCAUUAUCAGAUAAUAUACUUGUUUGUGUGGAUUGAGAUGUGCGUUUUGCUUUGAUUUUGUGAAGGAUUUCACCAAUGUAGGUAUGGCUACAAGAAUGUUUCAGACCUCGAAUCUGUAGUUGAUGGAUAUGCAAAAGCUAGAAUACCUCUUGAGGUUAUGUGGACAGACAUUGAUUACAUGGACGGCUACAAAGACUUCACUUUGGACCCCGUAAAUUUCCCAGAGGACAAGAUGAAAUCAUUUGUGGAUACACUUCAUAAGAGUGGUCAGAAAUACGUGCUGAUCUUGGAUCCCGGUAACAACCAUAUACUAUCUCUUGUCUGUAGAGUCUUUAACAAAUUGAUUUUACAAGAUGAAAAUAUUGGGUUUACGUGUAGGUAUUGGUGUGAACAGAUCUUACGGGACUUAUAAUAGAGGGAUGGAAGCAGAUGUUUUCAUAAAGCGAGAUGGUGAGCCUUAUCUCGGUGAGGUUUGGCCCGGAAAAGUAUACUUCCCUGACUUCUUGAAUCCAGCUGCUGCAACUUUCUGGAGCAAUGAAAUCAAGAUUUUCCAGGACAUUCUCCCUUUGGAUGGUCUGUGGAUUGACAUGAAUGAGUUAUCAAAUUUCAUAACUUCACCUCUAACCCCUGGAUCUUCACUCGAUGAUCCUCCUUACAAGAUUAACAAUUUUGGGGACAACGCGCCAAUAAACAACAAGACAGUUCCCGCAACAGCUAUCCAUUUUGGAAACGUUAGUGAAUACAAUGCGCAUAACUUGUAUGGCCUGUUGGAAGCUAAAGCCACUCACCAGGCUAUAGUGGAUGUAAUGGGAAAGAGACCAUUUGUUUUGUCGAGAUCCACGUUUGUAAGCUCCGGAAAGUACACGGCUCACUGGACUGGUGAUAAUGCUGCAAAAUGGGAGGAUUUGGCUUACUCAAUCCCUGGAAUUCUCAACUUUGGUCUGUUUGGGAUUCCUAUGGUUGGAGCUGAUAUAUGUGGUUUCUCACAUGAUACCACCGAGGAACUAUGUCGUCGAUGGAUCCAGGUAGAGUGAUUAUUUCUCAGACACAACCUGUAGACUUUUUCCUGAGUUCGUAAUCUAACGUUUGCUCUUAGAUUAUCAGCUUGGAGCUUUUUACCCUUUUGCAAGAGACCAUUCGUCCCUUAAUACCGCCAGACAAGAAUUAUACCUCUGGGAGUCUGUUGCUUCUUCUGCAAGAAAGGUUCUCGGCCUCCGUAUGAGACUGCUCCCACAUCUCUAUACACUGAUGUAUGAGGCUCACGUUAGCGGCAUCCCGAUCGUGAGACCACUCUUCUUCUCGUUCCCUCAAGACACUAACACUUACGAAAUUGAUUCACAGUUCUUGAUCGGUAAAAGCAUAAUGGUUUCUCCGGCGCUGGAGCAAGGAAAGCUGACGGUAGAUGCAUAUUUCCCUGCCGGAAACUGGUUUGAUCUUUUUAACUAUUCAUUUGCCGUCGGUGGAGCUUCUGGCAAGCACGUUAGGCUUGACACUCCCGCAGAUCACGUGAACGUUCAUGUUCGAGAAGGUAAUUAAAUAGUAUGUUCUUUGAUAGCUACUUCUGAAAUGAAACUGGAGUUGAGCUUGAACAGAUUUUGGUUUAACUUGUAAAUAGGUAGUAUUGUGGCUAUGCAAGGAGAGGCAAUGACAACUAGAGACGCCAGAAAGACACCGUAUGAGCUUCUAGUUGUAGCCAGCCGGCUUGAGAACAUAUCCGGCGAACUGUUUCUGGAUGACGGGGAAAAGAUACAGAUGGGAGAGGGAGGAGGAAACCGUGAUUGGACUCUCGUGAAGUUCCGGUGCUACGUAACAGGGAAAUCGGUGGUACUGAGAUCAGAAGUGGUGAACCCAGAGUACGCUUCGAGAAUGAAAUGGAGCAUAGGGAAAGUGACAUUUGUUGGGUUCGAGAACGUAGAGAGCGUGAAAACGUACGAGGUGAGGACAGGUGAGAGAUUGAGAAGUCCGAGAAUCUCGCUAAUCAAAACGGUUAUGGACGAUGAUGAUCCGAGGUUUCUCAGUGUGGAGGUUUCAAAGCUGUCGUUGCUUGUUGGGAAGAAGUUCGAGAUGAGAUUGAAAUUGACUUGAACAAGUACUAAACCCAAAUAUUGAUGAUAUAAACUCUGGAUGCUUAAUGAAUAAAGGGUGUAAAGAAGAGUGAUAUAUAAAGAUUUAAGAAUAAUGUCAUGCGAUCCAAUUACUUUGUAUUAUUGUACAGAAGGAUACAUACCAGGUUCAAAAUUCGUGUAUCAUAAAUAUUGUAUUUUUCCCUUCUCCUUUUCACUUCGUUAGUAUUUUCUGUUCAUUAUAAAUCAACCAAAUUGCAGUCUUCAAAAUUUUUGAACCAUCUGCACAUGUUGCCAUGUGGGGUUUGCCGGAAAAAAAAAAAAAAAAAAAAAGAGAGGAGCAUAUUUUUUUAUUUUUUAUUUUUUAUUUUUUUUUGUCAAAAGAGAGGAGCAUAUUUGUGCCACUUUGACCACUUUUUUCCUUUUGCUAAUAUACCGCCAUGUUUGUGCCCACAAUUUUUCUGAAUUCUCACUAAUUGUCAUUGACCUCGUUAACUCAAAUUUCAAAAUAAUUAAUUAACAUAAUAAACUUACAAAUUACAAUUCGAAAUUAUCCUUAUUGGUUGAUAAAUAUCCUUAAACGCGUUUAAAAUUAAUUACCAAACCAGAAGAAGAAAAAAAAUGAAUGUUAUGGUCCCAUUCUAAUAUACACACACACACACAAAAAAGAGUCGACGGUACAACAGCGGUCUUGUCUAGUACGCAAAAACAGUUUCGGCGUCUUCCUCACAUUACUUUUCUCAAUCAAUACCGUCUUCUCCUCUCCAUCCAUUAUCUCUCUCUCUCUCCCUCACGGAUUCGUAACUUCUUCUCAGUGCUUCUCCGUCAUCUUCGCAUUAUUGAUUCUUACUUUUUCCCUGUAAGCUCGACACGUGGAUUGUUCCCCUGCUUUUUCUUUUGUUUUUUUUUGCCUCUUUUCGUGAAGAUUCGUUUCCUGUAUCUGUGCAGACUUGCAAUGGAGUAAGUUUCCUAAAUUAGCUCGGCUCUAGAUCCUAGUUUCUUUAAUUAGCUUGUCCGGUGAAGGAAUUAGUGACUGGAUCAACUAGAUACUAUCGAUUCCGUAUGCUGCGGCUUUCGAUUUCGUGGAUUUGUAUUUGGAAAUUUUGCCGAUUUUUCUGAUUCUGUCCUGCUGGUAAAGGUCUCGUGAUUAGCGGAGGAGAUCUGGAGUUCUUAGUUUUAGGAUCUUACGAGCGAGCAAUUGUUGACUUUUGAUUUUGCCACAGUUUUAUUCACGUGUGUAGGCUUAGUUGAUUCAGAUUCAAGUUAGAAGCAGAAUCAGAAUCUGCAAAUACCUGUUGUUUUAGAAACUAUAGAGAUGCAGACUAGGGUUGUACAGUUGGAAGAAGGGAAAGAAACUGGAAUCACGGUUAGAACAGGGCAGUACAAGGCAUUUCCUUCGAAGCUGCUUCUUCUGCUAGGCUUUUUUCUUGCUUUUGCUAUUACUGUCUUCAUCAUUAGUGUAUCUACUAUCAAGUAUACUGGAAUACAAAGUGUAGUGACCACAGUGACUUCGAGCUUUGUGCCAUGCCGUGAGGAUGAACCCAGUGGUUUUAGUCAAUGGAUACUACCUCCUGCUGUUCUGAUGCAUAAUAUGAGCGACGAAGAGCUCCUUUGGCGCGCUUCUUUUUGGCCUCGGAGAAAAGAAUAUCCCUUUAAAAGGGUUCCAAAGAUUGCGUUUAUGUUCUUGACUAAAGGCCCCUUGCCGCUUGCUUUGCUUUGGGAGAGGUUUUUCAAGGGUCACAAUGGGCUUUACUCGGUUUACCUUCAUCCACACCCAUCUUUUACAGCCAAGUUUCCAGCUAACUCUGUUUUCCACCGGAGGCAGAUACCCAGCCAGGUCUGGUUCUUUUAUUUCUCUUCUGUUUACAUGGAUACCAGUUUCAUAUGGUAUGAGAAACUGGAGCUCCUGGACCAAACUUGGUUUCUAUAGAAGCCUCUUUGGCAUUGCGUAUUUACUCCAUACAGCCUUUUUGGAUGCCAUGUAGUCAUCGCUCUUGAAGUAUUAUUGUUGAUUAAGUGAUUAGUUGGAUUACCAAUCACAUAAACUAUCAGAAAAUAUAACUCUAGAAUCAAAUUGGUGGUUUCUUUAGUAGCCUUUUGUUCAAGCAGUUCUUCAGAUUGCUUUGAAUCUAAUUGGUUAUGUAUCUGAUUUUAUUGUUGUAUCAUUGUGCAGGUUGCAGAAUGGGGGAGAAUGUCCAUGUGUGAUGCAGAGAAGCGGCUUCUCGCCAAUGCGCUGCUUGAUAUCUCCAACGAAUGGUUUAUUCUAGUCUCAGAGUCAUGCAUUCCACUCUACAACUUCACAACCAUCUACAGCUACUUAAGCCGAUCAAAACACAGCUUCAUGGGUGCUUUUGAUGACCCUGGACCGUAUGGGCGCGGCCGCUAUAACUCGAACAUGGAACCAGAAGUCCCCAUUACCAAAUGGCGAAAAGGGUCUCAAUGGUUUGAGAUUAACAGGGACCUAGCAGCUACCAUUGUCAAAGACACAUUGUAUUACCCGAAAUUCAAAGAGUUUUGCAGACCCGCUUGCUAUGUGGACGAGCAUUACUUCCCGACAAUGCUGACAAUUGAGAAACCAGAGGUCUUGGCUAACCGGAGCUUGACAUGGGUGGACUGGUCGAGGGGAGGGCCCCACCCUGCCACGUUUGGGCGAUCUGACGUUACAGAGAAUUUCUUUGUAAAGAUCUUUGAUGGAAGAAACUGCACUUACAAUGGGCGCAACACUUCCAUGUGCUAUCUUUUUGCGAGGAAGUUUGCUCCGAGUGCUCUGGAGCCUUUGCUUAGCAUUUCUCCGAAGAUUCUUGGAUUUUGAGUAGUUUAGUAAUGUCUCUGAACCUCUUAGACAUCAAAUAGAGAACACGGAAUGGGUGAGAUAAUGGAUUCUAUGGGAGAUUAUACGCCGAUAUUAUUUUAUUUUGUUUGUUGUGAUGUAAGUUGGGAAGAAAUGAGGUAUUAGUAGAGAGAACUCUAGGUUGCUCAACCACAACAGGAGCCAAGUCAUAUGUAACUUUAUAUUUUUAAAGAAUUACUACUAUGCUAUGCAUAGAUCAUUUUUUCUUCCGGAUAGUCUUGGAACAUUAGUUGUCCGAUGCACGAAAUAGGACAGGUUUAUUAUAUAUACGCAAGUGUCAUUGAAUCAGAUUUGUUUGUCUAAUGUUUUUUCUAAUGUUAUCGUCUCUAACUCAUUUUGAAUCAGGUUAGAAAAACGAACAAACCUUUCUUAACAUGGAUAUGUAUAUAGAGUAAUCUUAGUCUUGGUAAAUUGCUUACCGACCUACAAACUAAAAAGAAAGAAAGAAAGAAAGAAAAAUUGCUUACCGACCAAGAUAUUGCUUAGAAUGUGAAACCAGUAGACUAGAUAACUAAAUGACAAUGGGAACAAACCAGAGCCAGGUGGAGAACACACUUUUACACCUAAUCGAAGGUUCUCGAAACCCUCAAGAGCCUGCCAACGUCUACCAUCUGUCUUUUUUUCUCUUUCUCUUUAAACAAUUGCAAAGUUUAAUAAAGUAUGUGAAAAGGUUUCAUUUAUGGAAAAAGAAGGUCUCAAAAUUCAAUUCUAUAUCAUCUUAUUGGAAUAUAUUCUCUGAGAUAAAAAGAAAUUCCACACACAUUCCACCAAUUUUUUAUUGUAUAUAAAAACUUAUAAUGAAAAUAUUUUCAACUUUUUUUUUUAGUUCUGAACAAAAAUAAUUUCAAAUAUUUUCUUCAAACUGACUUUUUCUAAGAAAUGUGAUGUCCACCCAUUCAACUAAGUUGGCUCACAUUAUUCUCAAAAUUAUAUAAAAAACAAAUCUAUAUGGUCUAGAUGCUAUUAAUAACUAUUGAAAAACAAGACAAUUUUGACAAAUUCUCAUAAUACUAUUAGAAAACAUUAUAAUAUAGUUAUUAAUUAUAUAUUUGUCUACUCUUUUCAAUAUCGCAUUAAUCUUCCAUGAUAAGGAAAAAGAAAGAUUAGCACAUUGUUCUUCGUUUGUUUACCAAACAAAAAAAAACACACAGUUCACCAAUACCAGUUUAAAGUACAUUAAUCAAACAUUGCUUCGAGAAACCAAAGAAAAAACAAUUUUUAUUACCUCUUCUGUCGACGUUAUUUGUUUUUUAAAGAAGCUCUUUUCUAUAAAGGAAAAACAUUAGCCGUUACACGAACCCCAUGUGCUCACCAAAUAAAAUGGUCCCUUCUUUACUCCCAACCAAAUACAAAUACAAAUACAAAUACAAGUCUGCGCAUCUUGGCCGUUUCCUUCACGGAACCGCGUUUUUCCGUCACUGUUAAAAAAAAAUUGACAGCUCAUCAAACAUUCUCCACGCGCCGUGACUAACAAACAAAAACCUCUACCAAGACCGUUGCGUCUUUUUUAGUCCAGAAAGUUAGAUGCACGCGCCAAGUGUGAGCGUUCGAGACAAAAAUAUCCUCGCGAACGGCGCCGUAACGGAAGAAAGAUGACCUGUCGAAAUCUCAGUGAUUGCGUGGGAGCAAUAUCAACCGUCGAUUAUUCAUACUCCAGCUGGAAAAAUCAGGGCAGCUAAACCAACUAAACCGGGCAGCUCCACCUCUUUAUAAACUCGUCACCACAUUUCAUUUUAGAAAACCAAAUAUUCAAAGAACCCUAGCCUCCUCUCUCUUCUUCAUUCACAUACACACACAUCUCUCUCUUUCUCACUCUCAACUUUAAAACUCUUUUGAAAUGGCGUUCUCCAAGGCUUCAAUCGUUGCUCUCGUGUUGGUCAUCAUCUCCGUCGUGGCUACGGCUCAGUCUGAAGCCCCAGCACCAAGUCCUACUUCCGGAUCUAGCGCGAUCUCAGCUUCGUUCGUCUCAGCUGGAGUAGCAGCAGUGGCGGCUCUUGUCUUCGGCUCUGCUCUUCGGAUCUAAGCUUUACUGUGAUGGUGGUUUCGUACAGAGAUUGUUUUUGCAGUUUAUGAUUAUUAUUAAUAUAUCUUGGGGAGUAUAGGCCAUUCAUCAUUAUUCGUCUCUCGUGUGUAUUCCGAAGCCUAUAGAUCUCAUUUCUUACUUGGCUCUCUUUUCUAUCUUCUUCUUCUAUAUUAUAAUCUUCAUAUAUGUAUUGAGGAUGAUAUUAUCUCUGGGUAUUGUGGUGGUUUUAGAGUUGUGGGAUUAUGGCCCUUUUUGAUAUGAUAUAUUGAAUCUAUUCUAUUUAUUUAUAUAUUUAUGGAUUUCCCUUCUUAAAUCUCUCUCUCUCUCUCUCUCUCUUCUCGUGUUUCACAGAUUAAUAUGAGAAUAUGCUUACACAGAGUAGUUGAGAAUUUUAUAAAUCGGAAUAUAUUCCAACGCGUUACAAAUCGAAUCAUUCCAAAACCCAAGUAAAAUGCUGUAACUCAAAAGCUAACUUUUAUGAUCUAAUUGAGAAUCAAAAAUUGUAUUCUGGUGGAAAUGGAACUGAUUCUAAACAAAGCUCG